This 64030-nucleotide long non-coding RNA is filed under the name Eucalyptus grandis. Its description in RNAcentral is "long non-coding RNA (EGRA_LNC000886)". Lineage: Eukaryota; Viridiplantae; Streptophyta; Magnoliopsida; Myrtales; Myrtaceae. The record is from RNAcentral.
AAGAAGGAAGCUUUGGCAGCAACAGGAGCUCCUUACAGCCCCUUAGGUCAAGGCUUUGGAGAGAAGAAGGAAGCUUUGGCAGCGACCGGAGCUCCUUACAGCCCCUUAGGUCAAGGCUUUGGAGAGAAGAAGGAAGCUCUGGCAGCGAUCGGAGCUCCUUACAGUCCCAUAGGUCAAGGCUUUGGAGAGAAGAAGGAAGCUCUGGCAGUGACCGGAGCUCCUUACAGUCCCAUAGGUCAAGGCUUUGGAGAGAAGAAGGAAGCUCUGGCAACGACCGGAGCUCCUUACAGCCCCUUAGGUCAAGGCUUUGGAGAGAAGAAAGAAGCUCUGGCAGCGACCGGAGCUCCUUACACUCCCAUAGGUCAAGGCUUUGGAGAGAAGAAGGAAGCUCUUGCAGCAACCGGAGCUCCUUACAGCCCCUUAGGUCAAGGCUUUGGAGAGAAGAAGGAAGCUCUGGCAGCGACCGGAGCUCCUUACAGCCCCUUAGGUCAAGGCUUUGGAGAGAAUAAGGAAGCUCUGGCAGCAAUCGGAGCUCCUUACAGUCCCAUAGGUCAAGGCUUUGGAGAGAAGAAAGAUUCCGGACACUUUUUGGCAGGUCAGAUAUCCGUGUGCAACCGAUAUCGAGACCCUUGAGGGAAGGCAAGUCACCGACUUCACUUGGAAUUGCCCCUUUCAGACUACUGCAACCUAAGAGACAUAGAAACUGCAGAUUUUUCAACCCUCCAAUAGCACUGGGAAGCUUUUCGAUCACAGUUUCUUGCAAGUGAAGGUCUUGCAAAUUCUGUAAAUCCCCAAUUGAGCUGGGGAUUUCUCUCAGUGACUUACAUUUGUAGGCACUCAGUGUCUUCAAUUUACUCAAAGAACCAAUAGACGAAGGAAUUGCUGUAAUACCAGAUUCAUGUAAAAGAAGUUCUUCUAAAUCUUUUAAUCCACCCACCUCCUCUGGUAGCUCCUUGAGAUCUAUACAGCAACUCAAGUCCAAGGUAACGAGGCUUGUGAGUUCGCCAAUAGAAGGGUGGAGAUGCUCCAAUCCAUAACAAUGGCUCAAUAGGAGAAUUUUCAACUGCGUGAAAGUUGAGAGUUCAGGAGUACAUCUUAAAUUAUGACAACCUUGAAUGGCAAGAACUUUAAGCUGCUUUGAUGCCUAAUAAAAAAGGAGAAUAAUCCGUCAAAUGAGUUGAUUGGCUAAACAAAAAACAAACCUCAAGAUCGCAGAGAGGAUGUAUUCUUUUCCCAAUCUUACCAUAAAUGAAUUCCAUCCUUCCCAAUCCUCUGUGAUUCUUACCCAAUUCUCUUCACUCUCCCACCAUAAGUCUAGCACCGAUAAUUUUGGCAAAUGCAAGUUGAUUGUCGAAAGAGACGCAUCGUUUCCAGGAUUGAUCCACUCAAACCAUCUCACUUCAAAAAACUUGGAAUCUCCACUAGAAGCUGCCCCAAAAAGUUGUGGAACCAGGGGCGUCUCUGCAAGUUUUUUCACUUUUUAGUUUUUGCUUUUUUUAAAUCUUGAAUUUGCACAAUUACCUUUUUAUCCUUCCCCUAUACAUGUAUGGAUAUGUAAACUCACAUUUUUUUAAAAAAAAAAAUUUAUGACCUUUUGAAAGUUAAACAAAUGACGCAAAGAUAACGAAAAAAAUAAUUAUUGCUUUAAAACAACUGAGGCAAAUGCACCUCAAUGUUUUAUCUCUUGCUUCUUCUUAUUUUUCAAAAUUUUGCAGCGCAUGGAUUUUCACUUUCAUUUAAGAAGAAAUACAUAAAACCAGUUUACAACGUACAAAUGUUUACUUGUAAAUUUUUAAAUGACUUAUGUAUAAUUUUUUAAAAGAAUUUGCUAAAGAGUGUCGACGGGCCACCUGUAAUUAGCUAAGGAAGCACCCUAUUUUCAUUUCAUUAGUUAAAUGUAAUAAUGUGGAAGAGAAAAGAAAAGGGGAAUUUUUAAUAUAUUCAGAUAUAUAGAAAAGUUUAUGUGGAGGGAAAUUAAAAGAAAUCAAAUAUGAUAUGCAUUAUCAAAAUAGAUAUAGAAAAUUAAAAGAAAUAUCCUUAUCUCUAGAAGGUAUCUAAAUAUCUUUAACGUCAUUAACUAUUUGCGUGGAGUGUUUACUCAUUUCUUUGACAAUCGAAACGUUUGUUUUUUUUUUUUUUGGGUAAAACUUUUUUUAAAAAGUGACGUGGUGACAUUGGUUAGCAGUUUUGACCAGGAUUGAAAAAAAAAAUAAUAAUAAGUCGCUUUUAGAAUAACUAGAAAAUGAACCAAUUAACUAAAAAGUGCCGUGGUAACAUUGUUUAAUCAUCACAUGUCGGUUCCAUAAGAAUGGCAUCGUUUCUUUUUCCAUCUUAUAAAUCAAAAAACAUACUGUUUAACUCCCUGCUAAAACAGAUCAUUUAAUUCCCUUAUGGCUUUAUUUGACUUUUAUAAUAAUACCUUUAUUUUCCCCCCAAAAGUUUAAUUGGCUAGAAAUUCACUUUUAUGGUUAGACACAUUUGUCGUUAUAUCUGCUUUAAAUAUUAACCAGUGAAAUGCAAUGGGUAUAAAUUCUCUUAAGUCUGUUUGUCUGAAAAGUAGCUAAAUUGUUGUAAUCAUAUCCCACACUAUCUUUAAUAAUUUUCGCUUGUAUAUCGAUCUAUACUAUGUAUUACAUAAAUAUAUAUAUAUAUAUAUAUAUAUAUAUAUAUAUGUACUGUAUGGAAAGGAGAUUUCAAUCCUCAAACUUUCAUCAAAAGUUUCCACACAAUUCGCAUAUAUCUCACCAAAAUGAACUAAAGAAAUAGGAUAUAACAAAAUAGGCAUAAUCAUAUUUGAAAUAGUCAAGACAAUUGGAAAUUAGUCCCACAAGCAAUUCAAUUUCCAAAAUUAAAUCAAAAUCUCUCAAAUCGUACAAUCAUUUCAUUUUUCUUCGACACUAUUUAUCAUCUUUCAGCAUUUUUGUCCAUUCAAAACAGAAUUGACCUUUCUUUUUCAUUGUUCCAAACACCUGUAUGGUGUGGUUUUUUUUGCUAAUGCUAAGAAGUUAUUGGAUCAACAAAAGAGUGUGAUAUUAAAUCAUAGGAACGAACUAUUUGAAAUUAUAUCAAGAAUAUAAGGCUGCUUUGUUUGCCCAACAUCCCUUGGUCAAUUUCUAGGGUUAAUUCCUUGCCGUUGAUCAGCCAUGAAACUGUAAAGCUUUUCAAAUGGACAAUAUAUAAUAAAAUGACAUGAACAUUGACAAUUUAAGUUAAAGAUAAAACAUAGUUGAAACAAUUUGCUUCAUGCUGAAAAUCAUAUAUAAUGAAUACAAGGUUAUGGAUAUAAUAGUAAGCAUGACAUUUCCUCCGAUUAGUCAAGUUUUCAUUUUUUAUCUUCAAAAUAGUCAAGUUAGUCUAGCNNNNNNNNNNNNNNNNNNNNNNNNNNNNNNNNNNNNNNNNNNNNNNNNNNNNNNNNNNNNNNNNNNNNNNNNNNNNNNNNNNNNNNNNNNNNNNNNNNNNNNNNNNNNNNNNNNNNNNNNNNNNNNNNNNNNNNNNNNNNNNNNNNNNNNNNNNNNNNNNNNNNNNNNNNNNNNNNNNNNNNNNNNNNNNNNNNNNNNNNNNNNNNNNNNNNNNNNNNNNNNNNNNNNNNNNNNNNNNNNNNNNNNNNNNNNNNNNNNNNNNNNNNNNNNNNNNNNNNNNNNNNNNNNNNNNNNNNNNNNNNNNNNNNNNNNNNNNNNNNNNNNNNNNNNNNNNNNNNNNNNNNNNNNNNNNNNNNNNNNNCAUCUUAUUGCUUUGGGUUAUUUAUCGGUUAUUAUACUAUCUCCUUCUUUUUUUUCUUAACCAGGAAAUCUUCAUUUAUUUGAUCUAUGAUGUUUAUUCUUCGUCUUCAUUCAUAAUUAUAGUCCUUCUAAUUAUCAAUAUUUUCAAGACAAUUGCAUGCUUUAAGUAAAUGAGAUUUCUAGUCUAAAAUUGUAGUUAAAGGAUUUUGAAUUGAUUGCCAAACAAAUUUUUACAUAUGUAAUUUACAUCGAUGAAAUUGAAUCAAUGAUAUAACUUUUUCAUCCUUGAGAUACUUAUGAUUUAUUUAGUGUCACAAUUAAUCUACGAUGUACAUAAAUGGAUGUUUAAAUAGAUUUUUUUUCCUAGAAAGUAAGAGCAUCUUUUCAUGCUCAAUGAUUUAGUAGAAUAGAUCGGAUUAAGAGGGAGAGAAAAAAAAAAAAGAAUGCCAUAUUUUACCUCUGGAUGUCUUACUACUCUUGGGACUCCCUCAUAGUCAUCAUCCCAUGGUCCAUUACAUUUCUCAAGCAGUUGUCCUCGGCAAAAAAUGCUCCAAGAUCUCUUAGUUGAUCAUGCACCAUAAAUUCACCAUGAUCUCCAAUUUUAAUUAAGCACCUCAACUUCAACUCUUCAAUUCCUUGAUUUGGAGAAAACCCAAGGUCCUCCCACAUGUAUAUGGCAAAUCGUGCAAAUUGGCCAUCGCCAUGUACGCCAAUAAAGAAACAAACAAUAUCGAGAAAAAUCUGCUUAUGUUCAUCUUCUAAUGCAUCAUAACUUAUUUGCAAUAUUUUUUGGACAUCUCUAUGUGGUUGGCUUUUUAAUUGUUUCCGCACAUCUUCCCAUACUUUUCGAUUCGGUUUUUUAUACAAGUAUGAACCUACGACCUUAAGUGCCAAGGGAAGCCCACCCAUGGUGGAUACAAUAUCACGAGAUAGACCCUCAAAGUCCUUCGAAGAAUGGUCCAUGUAAAAUGCAUGUCUAUUAAACAAAAGCAAAGCAUGCUCCCAAUCCAAUUCAUUCAAAUCAUACUUGUGUACAUUGAAUUUAGAUUGAUCGAGAAUGGCUUCAUAUCUGGUUGUAACAAUAAUAAUACUUCCUGCCAUAAACCAAUUACGCUCUCUAGCCAAAGCAUUUAAUUGAUCCUCAUGAUCUAUAUCAUCCAGAAGAAUGAGAACAUUUUUUCCUUUGAAUCUAGAUUUGAUCAAACUAAUUCCACCAUCAACAUUCCCAAUUUGAGAUUCGAUUUGUAGAAUGUCCAUAAUUAGUUGCUUUUGUAAAUGAACAAUAUUGUUGCGGCAAGUUGUUUCUCGAAUAUCUACAAGGAAGCUAUGAUGCACAAAGUCAUUCGACAGCUGAUUAUAGAUUACCUUGGCAAGAGUCGUUUUUCCAAUCCCACCCAUGCCAUAGAUUCCAAUCAUUCGAGCAUUAGUGGCAGGAGUGUCUACCCAUUUCAUGAUUCUGUUCACAUGAUCAUCAAUUCCAACUAAGUGCUCAGUAACAUCAAGCUGAAAAUCUUGUUGCAACUUGCUCAGAACAUUUUCGAUAACUUUUUUAACUAAUUCUCCUUCAUGCCUGUCCAGCAAAAAAAACCUCAUUGAUAAUUUCGUGAUUAUACUUAAUCUCAUCAAAAGGCACCGACAGACGUGAAGAAUAGAUGGGACCAAUUAACAUGCAAGAUGUUUUGGUUUUACAAAUAACAAUGGAGGAUGAUGGCCAGCGGUCAUUUCAUUUUUUCUUCUCUCUUCUGCUAGAUGGAUCUUGUUGAAAGAAAAUAAGGCAGUGCACCUGGCUCGUUAAGAGUCUUUAGAAGCGUAAUGUUUGUUACAAGGCUUAAGAUUGCUGCUAGUUAAAUGAUAGGAGGUCAAUUUUGUUUCAAUUAAAGAAGUUUAGGAGAAAAGUAUGUUACUCCACUCUAAGGCCAGGGCAUCUCACAUACCAAAAUUGAGGACUUAUAGUCGAUUUACAAAUCGCUACCGAUGGGGUCCACUGACAAUGGAAAUCAAACCUAGACAUGGUAAAUGUGAAGUGUCCAGUCCUUUCCACCUGAGCCAACUUCCAUUCGCAUUAGGAGGUCUAUUUUAUCUGGUGGUGAUAAAGCUUUGAAAUACUGAGCAUUCGAGUCCUUUCUAAGCUUAUUGUUUGGUGAUUGACACUAUUGGCCGGAGGGGUUGUCAUUUCUUUGAUUUUUGCUUUGUUGGAGACAACUGUAAUUCAUCUGUUUCGAAUGAACAAGAAAAUUUACAGGAUAAUUACUAAAAAAAAUUAAAUUUAUUAUAAUUAUGUUAAAUCAAUCUUUAAUUUUUUUUAUAACCAAUUUAGUCCUACACAUUUUGAAAAUAUGCUAAUGUAGUCCAUCUAGUUAACUUUGGCUAGAAAUCUCUAACAUGGACACAAGUCGUUCUAUGAGAUACCGUCGAUAUUGACGUAGAGUAUUUUUAUAAUUUUUUUUAUAUUUUUUUCUGAACUUUGUUGAAUUUGCUUAUAUUUUUUGUUUUUUUCUUUCUUUCUUUCUUUUUUCCUUCUUCUUCUACGGUCAGUGGCCAUAGAUGAGGGCUGCCUCGCCAUGAGGGCUGACCUCGCCAGAAUCUGGUCCUUCUAGUGGGUCCUAUAGAGAAUCGCAAGGAGGGAGAGACCGAGAGUUUUCCCAACAAGAGAGGGCCGUCGUUGGGUCAGAUGAGGAGGUUCGCUAGCAGCCAGAACGUGCUGGCAAACUUCGACUGGACGGCGCAGGUGGCGCCGAUGGAUGCAGCGGAGCAGAGGAACUGUUACUUUGACGACAAAGACAGAGACAAAGAAGAGCGAGAUGACGACGACGGCGACGAAGUGGGGAUUCCAUUUUCGUCCCCCAUUUUUGGUAGGUGGAGUGGAGUCGAAGGCGAAGAAGGAAGUGAAUCUGCGGAAGAAAAGGACAAUGGCUCCCCCUCAACCACUUCGCUUGCGACAUCCCCAUUAAUUCUGCAAAUAUAAUCGUGUUCUCGAAUGAUUGCGUUCCUGGAUUCCCGAUUUCUGAUGUUCUUCCUUCUUUUUUUAGGGUUAUUAGUUUGUGUUGGCCUGACCUCUUUAGAAGGACCAGAUUCCGGCAAGGUUGGCCCUUGACAGGGAGGGCGAGCCUCACCAACCCUAGUAUGUGGCCUGUUGCCGGCCAUCAAGGAGGCCAGCAGCUGGAGAGAAAGAAGGGAUUUCUAGCUAAAAUCAGCCGGAAGAACUAUAUUGGUAGAUUUUCAAAAGAUUUAUGAUUAAAAUGGCUAAAUAAAAAGUCUAGAACUAAAUUUUUACUGUUAUAAUAGGUUUAAUAUGUUUUUUUUUUUUUUGGUAAUUUCCCCAAAAACUUACUUAUAGAAAAGAGAAGUUUAGGUAGAAGCUAAGUACCCGUCAGCAACUUUCCGAGACUCCCAUCCCUGUAAAUGACUCACUUUUUCGAGUGCUUCCUGCACUUUCUGGAUGUCCUCCUCACCAAAAUACUUCUUACAUGUACGAAAGGCCUUCCUACCAAAGUUUCCUCUUUUUAGAUGCCCCACAUCCGAUGGGUCCACUUUAUAAAAGAUGGGCAAAACUGUGUGUGAUGGGCUCUUCGCACGAUCCAUGAUAUGAAUAAGCUCGCGGAGGCACCAUUUGCUUGAAGCAUAAUUUUCGGAGAUGAUGAGAAUCGAAAUUUUAGACCGAGCAAUGGCAUUGAGAAUUUCUGGACCAAAUUCCUCGCCAAUUUGGAUGCUCUUAUCAUCCUUGAACACAAAAACUGGUGUAAUCCCUACCUUGACUAGACUGUGAUAGAGGUGAUCAGUGAAUCCCUUGCGGGUAUCUGACCCUCUAAAGCUCAAGAACACAUCAUAAUGAUCAUUACAUAUUCCUUCACGUAUUCCUUUGAGUGUUGGAGAGAUUUUCGAAGGUGCGGAUGCUCUCUUCUUCUUGACAAGAUAGAAUGCAAGCAUACUAAAAAGAAUCGUCGCGGCAAGCACUGCGGGCAUUAUUAAAGGGUGCAUCCCUUCGUUUGUUUCAGUGUAACUCCGCCCUUUGUCGAUGGCAAUCUGAGAGGGAAAGUUGGAGAGAAAGAUGCUCUCCUGCUGCAUAAAAAGGAUUGAUAAUUAGUCUCUAUGAAGUAUGAACAAGUAUGAACAUGAAAUCUUUUACCAAGCAAGAAAAGAUAAACAUGAAAUUAUUAAUUAAUUAUUAUUUGAUUGACUAGGAGCAGUCGCUGAUGCUUUCAAUCCUUGCUUUAUCUUCUUUUGGAUAUCAUCCUCUAGUCAAGUCAAUCUUGCCGGGUUCGGUCCCCUUACGUAUAACGCGUACAUUAAUUUCUUAAUUGGGCUAUAGAAUAAUGGAAUCUAUGUACAAGCAUAUUGCAUUCGUUCAAAAUUAUAUGUAGUGGUUCAGUUUUUAUUUGAUUAUUGAAAAUAAGAUUUUGAUAAAUCAUUUUUUGUCAAAGAAUUUGAUAAAUCAUUUAAAAGCUGAUAAUUGAGCUGAGACAAAAUUGGAAAUGUGGGGAAGGCGUGAAGAAAGGACCUAGCUAGUAAUUAUGAAUGUGAUUUUAAAUUUAAUUUGGCCAUAGAUUUCUCCUCCUGCACAGCACAAAGCCUUCCUUCUCCUUGUAAAAUAGAGAUAUAAUUUGUUAGACGGUACCAAACGGAGAAGCGGAUGCUCCCUCAGUGAUCUCUUUUUAUGCACUCUUUUUUUUCUUCAUGUUAGUCUGAACAAUUAGAAAUUAGGUACUUAUUCAAUGGAAGAAAAAGAAGAUAAAAAAAAGGUCUCCGGAUUCAAGCGAAAUAUGACAAUUAAUAGAGUCUGGCGUGCUUGCAAACCUACUCGUUCUAGUUCAAAAAGAGAUCAGUACUGAAUUACGAUACAACUAACAACAUGUAAUAAGGUCAUCAUAGGAUUAUUUACAUCUAAAGUCGAAAAUACCGAAGUCGUUAACAGGCAACAACAAUUCCAAAAGAGAGAAUAAAAGACACCCUCCUCAGCUAUUCCGCAGCCACCCCACAUCCCCAGUAGACAAAAAGGGCCCAGAAGACACUAGUUCAGACUAUUAUUUCAAUAAUAAAGCGAUGAAUCAAUAGAAACGACACGGUAGUAAGAGAUGAAAAAGUGAUUACCUUCCGCGAGCUAAGAUACGAAGAGAGGCGCGAGAAACAGCACGGUAGUAAGAGAUGGAAAAAGUGAUUACCUUCCGCGAGCUAAGAUAUGAAGAGAGGCGCGAGAUCGGUGAGAGAAGACCCUAAGCAAGCCUGGGCAGGAACUUUCAAAGGGGGAAAAAGAACAAAGAAAGCGAGUGAGGACUGACCAGUGGACGACAGUCUCAAAUUGUUCUGCGAGAGAGAGGCCGAAUGCGAAAGAUAAAGUGAGCAAUGAGAGAGAGAGAGAGAGAGAGAGAGCGGGGGGAUCAAUCAAUAGUAGACGACAGUCUUGAAUUAUUAUUGACCAAUCGGUAGACGAUAGGUUGAUUGACUGGCAGCAAUAAAAAUUCUUUUCAGAUGGCAAGCAAAGUCAAGCCACACAAUUUGGACCAGAGUACAGAAUGACCACUUCCAUUCAUAUCCACUUAAAAACCAUUUUGUUAAACAGAUAAAUGUGGCUCUAACUAGCUUAUAAAUCUUCCAUUAUAUUAUUAUCAAAGGCAUUCUUACUCCUGUAGGUGCUGCAUUUUCCUCCCACCAUAAAGAUGCAUAAAUCAUAUUGUCAAAUCCAUUGUAAGCCAAUAAUUUUCUACGCUAAAUAUACGUAAAAGUCAUGUCUUUACUGUAAGCAAUAAAAUCGCAUGAAAAGCACAUUUUAGGACAAGUUUCUCUAAUUCAAUCCACAAAGAUAAAGUCCACCUAAAAAUUGUCUACAUAAUAAAUUCGUGCGAGUGCAUUGAAACCAGCAGCUUUGCUCACUUUCAAGUUUUCCAUUGUAACCAGUACCAAAAAGAGAAAAAAAAAAAAAAAAAGGUACAAUGGUGAAUUUUUCAUAAUUGGAAAACAUUUGAAUUUUCUAUCAUUCUUCCAAAAAUAUGAAAAUCGCCAAUAUAAUGGGAAAUGGUUUUGUGUACAACCAGAAAUUAUCUAGCUGAUCUGAUAUGUUUAGAUAAAUUUUUGUUGUUGACAAUUUUGAUCGGUAACCUAUGAAAGGUUUUGUGCAUUAUUGAAGAGAAAAGACUAGCAUGAUCAAUAUUUGGAAAAAUAUCUUUAACAGUUUUCAAGAAACAAAGAAUUAUUUUUGCAAAAACCGAGUAUUUUGGAUGUUUUAGGCUUUAAGUAAUUUUGAACAAGUAGGGUAUGCAUAGGGCUAAUGGACCCAAAAUCGCGUCUAGAAGGAUAUUUUGGUAAUUUUCAUUCCCAAGGGAGUUCAAUCAACCAUUAAUGUUUAGAAAACAACACCAGGAUAAAGGCUGGCAUGCGAUUCCACUAGAUUCAAUCAGUCUUACCAUACAUAACCAAUUAGUUUAAUGGGAAGAUUGUAGUAAGGAAACUAGCAAUAUAUAUGUAAUGAUGAUUUUGGAAAAGGCGAGGGAACUUCACGAGUAAUGUUUCGUAUGCCUUAAAGGAUAUCGGGUGUUAUGCAAUGAGUAAUAAUCAAAUGUAUUUUUGUCCUAUCAAUUGUAAUAGACUAGAGAAUGAAAGUCGGGCUUACCUGGAGGAGUGAUGCAGAGAUGAAAUUCUUGUAAUGGGUUUUAGUGUUUGAGAAGAAGUUGCCUUGGACAGAUCAAGUUGUGUUUGAGUCCCGGAAGACAGUACAAUUUGAGGAUCACCUUCACGCCUCAACUUGGAGCUAUCAAUACAAAUAUAUCUCAGAAAAAAAUGAGGAUCUCAAUGAUUUAUGGUGAUUGGUGUUUCUCCUCUUCAAGCACAAGCAUUUGGGACUUUAUAUAAAGCUGUACUUCUCUUGCCCCAGAGGAGACGCGACAUCUUGUGGUGGAUGGCAUUUCUUAGAUGAGGCAACUGCACUUCUUUUGAUUCUAACCUUUUUGACCAAGACCACUAAAACAAUCCCUUCCUCGAAAUUGGCAAGACGACCCCUAUAGACUUCACUUAUUAAUUCUUUUUGUUAUUGGAUUCCACGGCCAAGCAAGUCACAGUGGAAAUUAAAUUUUUUGACACAAUGCUAGUCCUUAACAGUCACGGAAUCAUCUCCUUUUUUUGUCAAACGAAAUUAUCUCCUUUACUUGGGAACUUUUGCAAGGUGUUCGUAUUGAAAAUUACUUCUUCUCUUGUCUUGAAAAGUGAGCCCAAUGUGCUAGGGACACACACAAUCUUACCAUGGAUUUGCACGUCCUUGAUGAGAAAAUUUACUUUUUUUACUGACUAACGCUCGCCAUUUGUUAGUUCUCUUUGUAAUGGAAUCACAUGGCCGCACAAAUCAAAGUGAAGAUGGACAACAUUUUGCUUUCCCUUCCUAUUGAAAUAAAAGCCUCUCACUACUGGAGGCAUUGAAAUGGUCAAAAAUCUAUUUGUUAACUCAUAUUUAGUGACCUGACUCCUAUAUGGAUUGGCUAAAAUUGAAAGAGUAGGUUGUUAUGAAUUUAAAGUAACAAGAUUCAAUUCAAUAUAUAAUAUAUUUUAAUGAGUUUGAAUCAUGUCUAUAUGCAAUUCAUGUUAAAAAAAAAAGAAGAAUAGAAAAGUAAUGAUCUUUUCAUUUGCUUUCACAUGGCUCUUCUUAGGGGAACUCAUGCUCGAGUGUGGUAUGCCUCAACACGUGGAGCCCAUUGUAUGUGACACAACAAUUGCAUGAGAUUUUUCUUCACUUGCCCAUUGCUUUAAUCAAUGAUUGAGUGACCCGUCAUUCAUUCCCUAUUCAUUAUCGAUUGUUUAAUCUAGUGGGACUCAUGUAGAACUUAUAUGGCUCCGGUCAUUUUUAGUUUUCCAAAUGUAAUCUUUCCCACAUUAUCAUUUAGCUCCACAUCUAGACAACGACGUCAAUUAGGGCCAAUUCAGCCAAAUCUCCUAUGUACUCUUAAGGAUGUAAGGAAUUAGAUUGAUAUCGUGUGCUUAAUAUGACACACAAAAUUUUAUCUUAGGUAUUUAGGGAUCGAAGUUAUGGUGAAAAAUAAGGGAAUGAAGAAAGCUAGGAAAACUAUCAAAAAAGUCCUAAACCAAUUGCAUUUGUGUUAAUUCAGUCCUAAACCUCUAAAUUUGAUCAAUUUAGUGUUAAACCUUUUGAUAAUUUGUCAAUAUAGUCUAUCCGGCCAAUUUUGAUAGGUUUAGGUUGCUUUGGAUGGUGGUUUUGCUUGGUUAUUAGCCGCAUUGCAUCUUAAUGGGCACUUAAAUGUCAAAAAUACUCUUCAUCAGCUUAUCUCACCAUAUGAUACAACCGUCACAUGAAAUAUCUGUUAUUCUACCACAUCAUUUCUUCUCUCUCUCUCUCUCUCUCUCUCUCUCUCUCUCUCUCUCUCUCUCUCUCUCUCUCUCUCUCUCUCUCUCUCUGCCCCCACCACCGCGAAUUAAUGUCACCAUCCUAUAGUCACUUGCCCAAACAACACCAACCAUGCCCUCCACAACUUAGGCCCCAUCUCUCUCUCUCUCUCUCUCUCUCUCUCUCUCUCUGCCCCACCACCGCGAAUUAAUGUCACCAUCCUAUAGUCACUCACCCGAACUAGAGGCGUCUUGCUCAAAGCUACAACGACACUUGACUAGACCUAGCGUCGCAUUUGAGUAAUUUUGGCAUGCAUUGAGCUAGACGCAGCAUUGGAUCUCUACUAGAUCUAAUGUCGAGCCCAACACUGCAGUGGACCGUCAUUGAGGACUUAUAACUCUAGGAUAAAUAUGUUGUUGCAACAGUCAAGCGUGUCACCAAAUUGGGUCGAUGGGAUAUUUCUUUCACAUAGCAUGAUCAUGCCAGUAUAUGCAUUUUGCAAAAGAAAUCUUUAUCAUGAAAAAAAAAGGACGUUUUCAAAACUUCUAUAUCAAAUUUUCUAUGAAACCGAGUUAAUUACCUUUUAGAAAAUUGUCUAGCGAGGGAAAGCAAGUCAAAGUCUUCCACCAUCUCCCUUGCUCAAUUGCAAAGAAAGUGGUAAGGCAAAAGCUGACAAGACCUAAUCAACAUAAUUUUAUUUUUGGGGAGGGGGGGGGGGGGGGGGGGAGGACUGGCCAGAAAACCCAAAUUAAAAUCUUCCCACCUCUUUCUUGCCCGGGUGGAAAAAAAGUGAUAAGGCAAAUGCUGACAAGACCUAAAAGAAGAGAGUGAGGGUGAGGACGAGGGUGAGGGGGAGGGGGGGAGGACUAGCGAGGAAAACCAAGUCAAAGUAUUCCACCAUCGUGCUUGCUUUGCAAAGAGAGUGAUAAGACAAAAGCUUACAAGACCUAAAAGAAGAGGGGGAGGGGGGAAGGACCGGUGAGGAAAAGCAAGUCAAAGUCUUCCACCAACUUGCUUGCUUAGUUACAAAGAAAGCGAUGAGACAAAAGCUGACCAGACCUAAAAGGAAGGGGGGGGGGGAUGGACUAGUGAGGAAAAGCAAGUCAAAGUCUUCCAUCAUCUUGCUUCCUUAGUUACAAAGAAAGCGAUGAGGCAAAAGCUAACAAGACCUAAAAGAAGGGGGAAGGACUGGUGAGGAAGAGCAAAUCAAAGUCUUCCCCCAUCUUACUUGCUUAGUUGUAGAGAAAGUGAUAAGGCAAAAGCUAACAUGACCUAAAAGAAGAGAUAGAGGGAGAACUGGCAAAGAAAAGCAAAUCAAAGUCUUCCACCAUCUUGCUCACUCAAUUACAAAGAAAGUGGUAAGGCAAAAGCUGACAAGACCUACUCAAAAGAAGGAGGGGGUGGGCGAAGAAAGCAAAUCAAAGUCUUCCGCCAUCUUGCUUGCUAAACCAACAAGACCUACUCAAAAGAAAUGGGGGCAAAAAGAUUCUAGCAAUUGAAAGCAAGUCAAAGUCUUCCACCAUCUUGCUUGCUUAGUUACAUGGGGAGAACAAAGACCAUUAUUUAUGGUGAAAAUAUUGUCUAAAUUUAAUUUAUAAAUGAUGCAACGGGGCAAAUCAAUUAUGAUAUAAUAAUUGUACUGAAAUUUGUAUUUUGCGGCGAGGGCUUUGUAUAGGGUUUGCAUGGUUUCUCUUAGGUGUUUUAUUAAAAUCUAAAUGUCUGACAAUACUACAUAAAUAUGUUAUACAUCAAACUGUCCAAUUGACUCUAAACAACUUAUAUUUAUCUAAUAGCACAUGUGGUAAUAUUAUUGUUCUAUAAUUAUGCUCUUUUUUCCUUUAAAUUGACAAGAGUGAGCUAAUAUAGAUCAUGGUCCAUGAAUGUGAACUCACGAAUAUUUGAUACAUGUAAUCCUAAUGCUAGUCUGUCAUUGAGUGUUUGGCAAGAGUUGAAAUUGACAUGUGAAAGCUAUCUGUUACUUGAAUUACAUCAACAUAUCCAAAAGUAGCUACCUAAAUAAAGUUUGUCAAAUUUUCAUCAUUAUUUAAAUUCAUAAAAUCAUUUUUCCUCUGCCCUGCUUGCUUCACUUUUGCUGCUCAUGAGUUGUUUUGUUUUUGAGAUUUACAUUAGAUCCAACAUUUUUUUUUGGUCCGGAUACAAUUCAGCACAUAUAUAAGAUUAAAAAAAAAACAAUUGCUCCGUAUUAUGAGAAUGCUGUUAAAAGGAGUAACAUGUAAAAUAAGUAAGAUUUUUGCCUUCUGAUGAGGAACAUCCUUGUCGUUUUAGGGCUUAACAUGUUAACAGAUAAUGGACUGUUAAACUGAUCUGAAAAAUCCAUUGCUGGCUUUUAUUGGUCAUAAACCACAGGAAUCAAAGGUAUCUUGGUACUCUCUUAAGGGUCUUCUAGAGCAAUAGUUGGAUAAAUGGAAUAAGAUUGUAUCUUUGACUCUUCCCUCUUUCAUCAGUUGACUAAGAUGAGACAUCAGUGGCCCAAAAUGGAAAAGAACAAGAAGGAAUAACACACCCAUAAUCUUAGUACCACCAAAUAUUAAGACUUCGAAACGAGGUUAAAAAUCUUGGGUUCUAUUGCUCAAUAGACGGUAAAAAAACGCUUCAAGUGCCUUAACUUUGCACAAAAUGACACUUAAGUGCCAUAACUUACGAAAGGUGCACUUAAGUGCCUAAAUCGAAGUAAAAUGAAUCACUUGAGUGCCAAUCCAGCCAAAAUCCAGCCAAAACGCUAACGUGUCAAUUUUCCAGCAAAGCGAGUGCGAAACGGCGUCGUUUUAAUGCUGACGUGGCCAAAAAUUUAAUAUAAAAAUUAAUUUAAAUUAAUUUAAAACUAAAUUUAUUUAAAUAUUAAAAUUUUAAAAUUUUAAAAUUUUUUUAAAAAAUUAAAAUUUAAAAAAUUUAGAAAAUUUUGAAAGAUUUAGAAAAUUUUAAAAGAUUUAGAAAAUUUUAAAAAAUUAAAAAAAUUAUAAAAUUAUAAAAUUUAAAAGAAAUUUAAAAAUUUAAAAUUUAAAAAAAUUUAAAAAUUUUAGAAAUUUUUUUUUAGGAAAAGGAGGCGGGCCUAGCCAACCCUCCCCCACCUUCCGGCGAUAGCGGGGAGGCGGUAGCAUCGAGGGCUCUGCCCUCAGUCGUUGGCUGCCUUUUCUCCUCCUCCUCCUCCAUUUUUUUAAAAAUAAAUAUAAAUUAUAUUAUUGUUUUAUUUUAAAAUUUAAUUUAAUUAAUUUUCAUAUUAUAUUAAAAUUCAACUUAUACCAAAACGUUGUUUUGGCCAAUUUAAGUGCUCUAUUCUGGCCAACACCCGAAAUGAUGUUAUUUUGGUGCUGACAUGGUAAAAAAUUUUAAUAUAUAAAUUAAUUAAAUUAAAUUUAAAAAUUUUAAAAAUUAAAAAAUUUUGCAAAAUUAAAAAAAGUUACAAAAAUUUAAAAAAUAAAAUAAAAAGGGAAGCUGUUGAGGGCUGAAAAAUUUUGUAAAUUUUUUAAAUUUUUGUAAAUUUUUUGUAAAUUUUUUGUAAAUUUUGCAAAUUUUUUGUAAAUUUUAGAUUUUUUUAGCAAUUUUUUAAUUUUUUUUUUUGUAAAUUUUUUGUAAUUUUUUGUAAUUUUUUAAAGUUUCUAAAUUUUUAAAAUUUUUAAAAUUUUUUUAAAUAAAUUUAUUUUUAAAAAAAUUAUUUUAAAUUUAAUUUAAAUAAUUUUUAUAUUAUUAUAAAAUUCAAAUGAUACCAAAACGACGUCGUUUUGGCCGAAUUCGAGCUGACUCAGCUCUCCGGUGAGACACAUCAAUGAGAAAUAUUAAUAUUUUAAUGCCACGUAUGAUUUUCAAUCAGGAGAUGGCACUCAGGUGAUCCAUUUUUCUUAAAAUGUGACACUUAAGUGUCCCUUUUUGCCAAAUUAUGGCACUCCAGGGGUCCGCAUGUCCUCAAUAGACAAACGCAAAGGAUCGACGCAUGAAGAGAACAAAGAAUAUUGUUUACCUUCACCAGCCAAAAGAUUGCAAGGUCAACAGCAAAUGCAGGAAAGAAAUAGAAGAAAACCGUACAAAACCUUUUGUUACUUACAAACACAUACCAUCCUAGAAACAGUAUGCAUGCCAUCAAGGGGAAGAGCUGAAAGAUUGUCUUCAACACAAAAUAACUAUAGUCAUACCUCAUCUUUUUUAACAUGUAAAAACGACCAUUUCAUUCGGCAAAAUUUACCACCCUAGUCAUGAAGAGCAUGAUAUUCAAAAAGCACAUCACUCUCAAACGUACUUUUCAUGCACAUGGCAAGGUGCUUAUAUCAUAAAAAUUAUUGCUUAUAUCACUUAACGUAAUUAGCCAAUAAAAAAUGUUUUUAUUAUCGACAAAAAUUUAGGUCCAAACAUUUUCAUGAGUCAUAAAAGUAUCUUUUGUUCAUUUGUUAUUGUUAGCGAUUUUAGUGGAAAUGUUUGUCAAAUUCAUUUUCCACAAGACAAACACACCCGUAAUGUCAAAUAGCUUCAAUGUUUAAAACUAGGAGAGGGAAAUUUGAAACAGACGUUUUACUUUAGUUUUUGCAUGUGUGAAAAUGAGAAAACACCGUCUCUGUCUUCCGCGGUGUUGCUGGGUCAUUGGAUGUGGGAACCAAAGAAGAUUUGCGUAAAAAAUUGAAUGCAGUUCUAGCGGAUAGUUUUCAAUUUUCACCCAUACUACGACUUAACAGUGGAUUAAAUUACAAAAAAGGUAAUAAAAUCAUAGCAGCUUGACAUAUUUCAUUCCAUAUAUAUAAUUUGCAGCUUGCUUAAAUUAUAUUUAAAAGAAGGUAAUGAAGGAGGUGAUGUAUACUCAUAUUUAAAUCAAUCUCAGUUGGUUAUUUCUGUGGAAAGCAUAAAACUUCCAAAUCAUGAUCGUUAGCUAAUCAUAUUUCAUAGCGUGAGGCGAGGGAAAGCAAGUCAAAGUCAUCCUUCAUCUUGCUCGCUUCAUUGCAUUUCCCAAGUCCUCUCUUUUAACCAAAGAAAGGGACAUGACAAAUGCGGACGAAACCUACUCCAAAAAAUUAAUAAAUAAAUAAAAGACUAGUCAACGUUCAACUUUGGACUGAUUCUUGUUCUUCCCCUAAAUUUCCUCGAAAGUGUGUGAAUGUGAGGUAAUCAUGUAUACCUAUCUCUAGGGGACAUCAUAAUUACAAACACUUAGGUUAUGUUCACGGCGAGACAAGAGACGGUCUUUAUUGUGGAAAUGUUGCAUAGGAUUAAUUUAUAAGUGACACCAACGGACAGUGCUAAUCAUAAUUUGGAGCUUUUGGAUGAAAGUGUGGCUACUUGUGUUUUCUAGUAAGACUUGAUAUAGGGUUCUCAUAGUUUUUCAUAGAUAUUUUAAGAAAUUUUGAUGUUUGUUGUAAAUUUGAUAUGCACUGAACUUUUCAUUUUGUUUAUUAACUCCAAGUAACUCUUAUUUAUCUAUACAUUUGCUGCUCUAUAACUAUACUUUUUUCUUUUUCCCCUUGAAAUGAAAAGGAGUGACCUAACAUAAGUCAUGAUACAUGAAUGUGAACACAAGAAUAUGUGAUGCAUUCAAUUGCUAGCCUCAUGAAAGGUUUGAAGAGGGUCGACAUUGAUUUGUCAAGCUAUCGGUUGCUUGGAAUAUACAUCAAUAUCCUAAUAAAAUUCGUCAAAUUUUCAUCUUUGUCCUAAUUCAUAAUGUGCUUUCUUCUCUCAUGCUUGCUUUGCUCAUGGUGAGUUUAUUGAGUCCACGUUAGUCCAAUUAUUUUCAUUGAUCCAGGGAACAAGAGUAUGAGAAUGCUAUUAAAAGGAGUAACAUGAAAAACUAACAAGAUUUUUGCCUUUUGCCGAGGAUCAAACUUGUCAUUUUCCGGCCUAACAUAUAACGAACCGUUAGACUGAUUUGGAAAAUUCUGAUUUCAUCGGCUUUUAUUGGAUAGAAACUACAUAAACCAAAGGUAUGUCGGUGCUCUAUCACGUGUCUUCCGGAGCAAUACUAAGAUAAAUGGAGUACUAUUGGCUCUUUGACCCUUCCCUCUUUCAUCCAUUGACUGAGAUAAGACAUCAGUGGCCCAAAACACAAAAGAACAAAAAGGAAUAAAUUCAGUGACACCCGUACCAACAUAUAUAAGACUUCAAAAUGAGUUUAAAAAUCCUGGGUCCUGCUGCACAAUAAACAAAAGCAAAGGAUCAACACAUGAAGAAAACAGAUCCUUUACCUUCACCAGCCAAAAGAUUGCAAGGUCAGUAGCAAAUGCAGGAAAGAGAUCCAGAAGAAAACCAUAUGAAACCGUUUAUUACUUACAAGCAUAUACCAUCCUGGAAACUAUAUGCAUGCCAUUAGCGGGAAGAGCUGAAAGAUUGUCUUUAACACAAAUUAACUAUAGUCAUGCGUCAUCUUUUAACAUGUAAACACAAUGAUUUCAUUCGGCAAAAUUGGCCACCCAUGUCAUGAAGUGCGUGGUAUUCUCAAAUUGGAGAGUCGCAAGCUGACAAAGCCAUUUAAAGGAUCGCAGCCUUCAGCCACUAAUCAUAUGUGAAAGACAGCCAAAUGUCAUGUGAAUCAGCAACUACUGUCCUAUUCGGCAAUACUAACAUUUCAGCCUUCCCGUUGUUCACAUGAAGAGCACAGACAAUCAUAAUGAAAUGAGAGAAAGCAGUGUGCGAUGAUAUACUCUAUCUUCAAGCCAACUUUGAAUGGUAGUUGCAGAUCACUUCUUUUAGGAACACUCUUGGAGAAAUCGAGCAUUUGAUGAUGUUAACCUACAUUCUGACAAAUACAGGUCAUUGUCUUCAUUUUCAGAGUCUACAGCAACCCAACCAUCAUGAUUCACUUCACCAUUGGAUUGCACAGCUGCCACAUCACUAUUAUCCUCUUCUGCAAGGAAAUGGAGAUCCACAAACAUUGAAGACACAUUCUGUGAGAGAGUAGUUUCUAAAUCUGGAUCGGCAUGGUGAGUAUAACUGAAAUGGAAUGGAAGUCCUGAUCUCCAACCAUUGAAGAGGGGAGAGACUGUGAACUUCUAAUAACUCUGUAGAGAUUUUGCUGACUACUUGCAAUUUUCACUAAAGACAUGGAACUACCCUGAACAGGAUAAGACUCCUCAUUAAGACAUGCUAGUCGGCAAAAGCACUCAUAAUUAGAGGCAGACAACAAGAUGGCUCAAAAAGAACAUAAAUGUUCCUACAGUUGACAGCAACAAGGUAUUUUAGUAACUAAAAUAUCACCUUUCCUGGAAGUUGAUUGAUCAAACCAUUUGCGAUUCAAAAUAUGAAUCUGACCCCAUCUUUUAGCGACCUUGUAUUUAUCUUCUGGAGCUUACAGCCAGUCAAGGGCAUCGUAGUGGUACACACAGUGCUACAGAGCAUCAUAUAUGAGGCCAAUAGAAAGAUUCAAUGGUAAUAACAUUGCUGAGCAAUGUGCUUUGAGCAACCAACAGGCAGUCCUAACUCACACUGGAAAAGCGAGAACUGGCUGAGGAUCUUUUAACAAUUAGCGGUUCAAAUUGUACGUUGUUUAACACCUUGUUUCCUUGAACCACAGAACACAAUUCUUUAGGACUGAUUUAGAAGUCAAAGUCAAUGAUAUUGUCAUGCCAGGAAGUUUCACUGUUUCUCAUCGUAAUCAAAUUCCCAAGUAAAAGGACAUUACCAAAAACCAAGAUUAAAUCAAGCAUAGCUAUUUCCUAUUUCAAACUAUAAUCAUCACUAAACCUUGAAAUGAUAUAGAUCUUCUUUUCAAACUCUUAAAUGUGUUUUCAUAUGCGAAGACAAGAUAAAGAUAUGUGCAUUUUGACACAGUGAUCUGAUAUCAAAAGGAAAAUAUGCAAGCAAAUCACUGGACCUUAAUCUUGAAGAAGAAAGGAUAUUUCUGCAAUUAAAUGAGUGCACUUCCUGGUCAAUUCUGCAGAAUAUCUCCCACCAUUUUGUGUAAUAUGCUUCUGAAUCUCCUUCCGUGCGUCUAAGAUCAUGAAGGACAUAAAAAUUGAAGAACUGGAGGACAACCAACAGCAGCAGCUAUAUCAAACAAUCAGUACCUGCAGGAAUUCCUGCGAAGUUCAUUGUCAAUCCAGAAAAUGGAAGAACUCUAUAAGACUCUUGAGGUACAACACGGUGCUCAAUACGGCAUUGGUAUAACCAAUUAAUGGUGACAACAGGUCACUUCAGAACAUUUAAAGCCCACUGUACGAUGACAACAUUAAUUGAUAAAUACAAUUUAUCUCUCAAGAUGGGAUUCAUAAAAGAAUUUGCACAGAGAAUAUUCAAAAAUAUAUAUAUAUAUAUAUAUGAAGGAAACUCUUCCUACGUUCAGCCAACUCAAUCAGAGUACUACCCAUGAUGCUUCCCAUACUCAGUGAAAAAGCAUAAUGAAUCUCAUUUAAAGUGAAUUUAACCUUAACAAGAUACAACAAAUUUGCAACUUUUAACUAAAUUCAAAUUAUAAACUCCAAGACUUGAACCUUGUAUUUUGCAGCCAAAAUAUUCUUCGCAAUUACGAAGCUAACAUCUACUGAAGUUUUGGUUUGUAGAACUCCCCCCAUUGAAGCUACCGAUUUCUCAAUCUCAGCCUGCAGAUUCGCGGAAAUGGUGAAACAAUAAUAGAGACGACAAGCUGCCACCAUAUUUGUUCAGACAAAAGCAUGUCUGAAGGCACAACAAUCAAGGGUCACAUUGAAGGAUACAUGGAUAAGGAUAAGUGACGCUUCACACUGAAGUUUUGGUUUGUAGAACUCCCCCCAUUGAAGCUACCAAUUUCUCAAUCUCAGCCUGCAGAUUCGCGGAAAUGGUGAAACAAUUAUAGAGACGACAGGCUGCCACCAUAUUUGUUUAGACAAAAGCAUGUCUGAAGGCAAAAGAAUCAAGGGGUCACAUAGAAGGAUACAUGGAUAAGGAUAAGUGACGCGUCACACUGAAUUCGAGAGACAAGUUACGACAAAGAUUACACGCUAAAAAAUCAUACAAGGCCAGGCUUAUCUAGGAACAGGCAUACCUCCUCAUCCACCUCAAAUCCAGAUGCAAGGACUUCGACAUUAUCUAUCGCAAGACAAACAAAUAUACCCUUUUUGAGGUAGAAGUCUCCGUUCUUUCGCACACGAAACCACCACACACUGCGGACCUGCAAGAAAUAUCCCCCAUCAAAAGUCAACAUUUUUUUCCCAGGCAGAAGAACUCCUCUCGACUUGCUUGACCAGCACAUUGACCCCAAUGCCUCCGCUUUCGUUUCUCAACUACAAGUCCUGGUUUAGCAUUUAGCAGCCUGGAGGAAACACCAGAAGAUAAGACUAGGACGAGAACAAGAUCUUUACCGACUAGCUUACAACCCUUUCGCCUGAAGAUCCUCGAGCUUCUCAAGACGUAAAACAACGUCAAACCCAAUUUUCAAAAUGAACCCAAAAGCCGUUAGCGCCGCCCAAUCCCAACGUACUCACGUGAUCGGGGAGAAGAAACAGCUUGAAAAUCGCGGGGCCCACUCCUGGAAGGGUCGCGGCGGAGGAAGGCCUCAGCUCCGUUCAGCUUGAGCGCGUCGAACGGCUCGGGAGGCACUCAAGUUCCUCGACACGAACACGGUCGCCCCCCUGAAACGGCUUCAUCUUCGCCAUUUCCUAUCUUCCUUCGCCGGCAGCGACUUCCUCAACAGAUGAUCGGUCUCGUUGCUAAGGAUUUCUGCGAAAUCCAAAUGCAUGUGAGAGAGAGAGAGAGAGAGAGAGAGAGAGAGAGAGCGACGAUGAAGCGCGAAGGGAAUCGGAAGUUGGAAGAGGAUGAAGGAGGAGCGACUUGGGGAAGAAUUGAGUGGAGUGAGCUUUUUCUGAAUUCUUCCCCAAAUUGGGAUGGAUUAGGGUAUGAGAAAGCGAGGGAAUGGGGUUUUUCUUGCGCUCUUUUCGGAUUUUCCUUUUUAAUUCCCCUUUUUUGUGCUAUUAAUUUUGUGGAUAAUUUCUCAAAAACCCCCCAGCUUUCACGCCGUUGCAUGACUGCUCUCGAACUGUGAAAAAGUUACGCACUAUGCCCGCGCCGGCGACACGAGCCAUGAAAGAAAAUAAAAGAAAAGAAUAAAAGCAAAGAAUUCAAAAAGAAAAAAUUUUAAAUUGCAAAAACUUAUCCAUGUCAACAUUGACAUGAUAAAUGAUCAAUAUUCACAUUAGCAAUUUUCAAUCAAAAUUAGUCAAAAGAAUUACAUUAACGAUUUGUCAAAAGUUUUAAAAUUAAAUUGACCAAAUUAAAAAAUUUAUAAUCGAAUUGACAUCCGUUGAUGAUUAUUUUGUCAAUUUUCCCUAAGAAUUUAGUCACAUGUCUAGAUCAAAACUUCACAUGAAGUUUUUAUUGUGGACCCAUAAGUGCCGAAAAAUUACAUUGGAUCAUGGAUAACACUUUUUAUCAUGUUUCAAGAGCAGCCAAAAAUUAGGGCUUCUUGGCGAUAAAUCUUUUUAUAGGUUUUUUUUUUUUUUUUGGUUGAUAUCUUUUUAUGGAGUUCAACUCUACAUUAUAUGACCAACCAAAAGAAUUUUAGAGACACUUUCAGAGCAAAUCCUAAUAUUAAUUAUAACAAUAAACGUGAGUCAAAACUUUCAUUUCGUACAUUUAAAUCCCAAAAUUUGUAACUCCAACAUAUGUGGGUCCUUUUGUUAAUUCUGUCAAUGGAUGGAUAAUAACAAGUGGAUUUUUUCUACUCACGGGUCAUUUUCUGUCUGCUAAAACCUAAUAGGACUAAUGGGAAGACUAAAGUGAGGGCUCAACCUAAUACAACAAGUUGAGGGCUCAGGUGCACGAAAUGAAAGUUUUAAGACCCAAAUGUAUCGUCGUGACGUCUUUUAAAUUGACUUACAAAUUCAUCAUGCUAACAAAACUUAUGAUCAUUCCUUAUACUUGACUUUGGAAAUAUGCUUGCUAUGUUUGCACAUAUAAUCUUGGGACAAAUAUAAUAACUACAAAAAUCCAAUGAAUCAAUCCAUGACAUCUUAGGUUGGACAUGAGUAUCGCGAUAUUGGACAGAGCAUUCAGAGCCCCUUAAAACUUGCAGUCUUACAAGAUGAAAAAGGAAGCCUGGUAGUAGGAGUAGAUGUACAAUUAGAUCCAAUCUAUACUUUGGGACUUCGGAAACUAUAGAGGAGGUGGGACCCCUAAAUUCCAACACACCUCGUACAAAGAAGAUUUUGAAUGAGCCAUCAAGCUGCAUAUAAACAAUUUCCAUAUAGGUAUAUUGGUUUAUAUGAUAUGCAUUCAUUUAAUUAACCCUACGGCUAUAUCCAUGUUGAGUUUGUGACGCUACUCUUCUUGAAGUACCCUAUGAUAAGUCUACUAUUCAUGAGAAAUGUCUUUGACCUCAGUUUCUAAACAAGUUUGUAUUAAGGUUUCUACGGGACUGCUAGACUAAUUCAUCGGUGUGUCCAUGGUCAGCAUUAAUAUAGGAGCUGACCAAUGGAAUCAACUAGGCUCCACGUGAUCAAACAGUUAAACACCGAAAAGUUUCGAGAAAUCUCGAUUUGUUUCCCUUGUCACUCCCAACUUAUGCACCUCGUAAGGUACUUCAUUACAGAAUAACCAAGAGUACCUUGUCCACCAACUAACAAAACUUAUCGGUAAUUGCCGCUCUAUAUUGAUGACACAGAAGACGAUCUCCAAAAUAAACUCAAAAAAGGCAACUAAUUUUAAGGCAAAUAGGAAUUUACAGCUCUUGCCCCAAAAAAAUCAUUGCUGGAGAUAUGAGGCAUCCGCAUUGCCAAUUAACUACAAAGGCAAUGACAACCAGUCAAUCAAAUGAAUUCAAUUAGCUAUUGAAAAGUUCAACAAAAGGAAAAUGAACUUAUGUCGUAAGGCACAUCUUAAAGGUAAAUGCUUUUUAAUUCUCGCUAUGUAGCAUUAACUAGACUAUUCAAAACUUGGAUGUGCAAUUGGUUGAAGGUUUAUUUUAGGGGAAAGAGAGGGAUUGGAUUUGGUAGAUACGAGUCUUUCCUCUCUGGACUUCUUUAAGUGGAAAGGCAUUUCAUUCAAAUCCACCUCCGAUUUUCUCUUAAUCUUCUUCUACGGCGAUAUCGCCUUUCCUUGUCUUGCAUCUUCCGAGAAGGUGCUCGAAGUUAUCUUGAUUUCCUCUUGCUUAAUUCUAUCUGAUCUGUAAUAGGUUAUUAUGAUUCUUUUAGCACCAAAUGAUGGUGAUGAUAAUGAUUGAUUACAGCUACUUUUAUACAACGAAAGGGAGCUUUUCUUUUCCAUCCAUUCCUUUGUUUGCCGUUUCCGAUGCGGAGCACCACAUGUAAUCAUGGCAUACAAUUAAAUAUGCUCAGAUUGGAGAGAUGGAACGGCUGGGAUUCUGGUCCCAGAAUCAGGUCAACAUGGUAAGGAUCGAAAGCCUUUUUGCAUAAAGGAAUUCUGGGCAAUGAGUCAGCCCUCACUCCCCACCUUUCUUAUAGAUCCAUCACAUCUUUACUAAAUUAGGGCAACGUUGUUGUUACUAUAGGUGCAAUAAUUUUGAAGAGAUGCCCAAAAAAAAAAAAAAAUCGCCAGGCCUCCACGGAAUGAAGAGUUAUUUUCUUGCAUCAGCUUUAGUCUUGAGGCCCGCACUGCGUGCAUGCAUGAUCACAAAUGGAUAACGUAUGAAGAGAAAAGUAUUUUUUUUAUUGAGCGGAUGUGGAGUGCAUGCUAAUUACACACAGGUAUAAUUUGGUGAUUAGUUGGUAAGGAGACGGUGUGUGAUUUUAACUUUCAACAGGAAGGGCAAUUUUGGAAAAAAAAGAGAUCGACAAAAUAAUGUUAUGGUGAAAACAAAGAGGUGCAAGUGUUGUGAGAUUCAAACCUAGGACCACGAGCGAUAAGGAUUGAAUGGUGAUGAACUUGUUUUGCCGUUUGGAGAUAGAUCUUCAUAUAUCCCUCAAAAGCAUGUUUCGGGUUGGUUUUUGAACGGGUCAAAAAUAGUUCGGCUCAAAUAAACUCAUUUUAAUCCGUUUAAUCCAUUUACAUACAAUAUGUAUAUAGUGACUCAGAUCCAACAAUGUCCCGUGUUGCUAAAACAUGUCUUUAUUUAACCCAAAUCUAGGAAAAUUCACACCCAAAAUCGAGAUGGGUUGGGUCAUAAACCCAUUUAGUACCUCAUCAUUUAUUUAUGGAAGAGGGAGGUGAGGGGUUCAAAUCCUCACAUUCUCGGGGGGAUGGGGUGGGGACGCGUAAGUUUCAGAAAUGGGUUUCGACUCCCACGCCCUGCAAGAGGCAAGGCAAAAGUCUAAGAGUGAGUGUAGAGUAGGAAUAGAGUAGGAAUAGAGUAGGACUAAUAAAAAAAAAUAUUCAAGAGAGAUAAAAAGACAAAAACACGCCCGGAUCGGAUUCGCACUCAGCACUGUUUUCGUAGCACCGAUUGCAACGGGCAAAUGGCCCCUUUCCUCGCCCGACCCACGGUCCAUCCCCCACAUUUCUCGUCCGUGGCAUGUGACUCGCAGGUGCAGAGACAGAGAGAGAUUCGACCAUGUGACCCCACCUCCUCGAAUGCCCAGAUCCGCCAGCUUCGGCGCUUUGACUUCAAAGGAAAAAACGACGACGCAGCACAAACCGUUCGGCGUUCGACCUCGGCAGUUCUUGGCAAAGGGGAACGUCAUUUCGCUCUUCCAUCCCCCGUUUUUUAACUUUUCAUCUUUUCUUUAUUUCAGAAAAAAAAAUAAUUUCUUUAUUUCCUUUUUUUUUCCUUCUUCUCGAAUAUGGUUAAAGGCCAAAUCGAAUAUUUCUAAGAAGGCAAAUCCCUAUUUUUCCCCCUCCUCCCCUUUUCCGAGUUUUCAUACAUUCUUUUUUCUGCUCCGCUUGGGACUUUUAUGCAGGACGAAAUUUCCUUUCCUUUUUUUUUUUUUUUUUGUUAAUUAAAUGAAAGAGAUCUUGAAAAGGGAAAGUCCGUCAAAUUGAAGCCAUGUGUAUCCGGGUAAACUUCUUGUUUUCCAUUUUCAGUUUUUGGCAAUAAAAUUAUUUUUGAAUAAUGGAGAAACCUUAAUUUUUGCAAAAAACGAGAACGAAUCUCUCGAGAUGGAUUAGAUGCGUUGUAUAAAAAGAAGUAAUACAAAUGUUUUGGCCACUUAUUAGGAUUUUGACUUAUGUUUUAUUCGGUUUACAAUGUUAGAGGGUUAUUCUUGGGGAUUUUUCUGAAAUUGGAUUAUCACCAAGAAAGAAGUACGAGUAAAUUAUAAUUUAUAAGACCGGAUCAAUAGAUUUCAUGCAAAGUCUUCUUUCGGUUUUUUGGUCAAAAAAUUUAUGCAGAGAUUUGAUGCUGUAGAGCCUGAAUAUCUGGCGGAGAAUGCAAACUUUGGUAAGCAAUGCAAUAACACAAACCACAAUUAAGGAACCAACAAAAUGCAAAUUCUUCUGAACCCCUUGCAUCAAAUAUUAAUAAAUCUGGUAAAAAAAGCCAUUAACAAGUCAGUCCCGUUGCGCAAAGAAACCGUUAAAGAUGACAAAUCAUUCAAAUUUGCCUAGUCAUGUGCACCAGCAGUGAAAGCCAUGAAAAGAAGAGGGCAGUGAAAUAGCUCUGAGCUUCAUGGCUGAUAAGAUUCAAAGAAAUCAUAUCACACAGUGUCACUCUCCUCCCAUCAGCUGAACCCAAAGAAAAAAAAAAAAGACAAAAUAAAAACGGAAGGAAUUGGAGAGAAAGGAGGUGGGACCCAAGAAAAUGAAGGGAAGUGCUUGGAUCAAUGCUUCAUAAGAGAGCCUGGCAACAAGGCAGUUUACAGCAUCUCAUGUUGAAACAAAGCAUAUGUGAAAUUCAAAUCCAAGAUCUAACUGUGACUUUUAGAAAAUACGAUUGCUGAAAUAGCUACGUGUUAGGGAAAAGUCUACGAUACAAAUAAAAACUGCCAAGUUCUGAAGAAAAUUAUGUGACAUGACCAAUGAGGCCUUUCAAUUGUCAAAAACACGUUAAUUUCCAUUUUCUUUAGUGUGGCGCAUGUGUUUGAUUAAACCAUCACAUCUUACUAAAUUAGGGCAACGUUGUUGUAAUUAUAGUUGCAAUAAUUUUGAAGAGACACCCAAAAACAAAAAACAAAAAUCGCCAGGCCUCCACGGAACAAAGAGGCAUUUAAUUGCAUCAGCUUUAGUCUUGAGGCAUGCACUGCGUGCAUGCAUGAUCACAAAUGGAUAACGUAUGAAGAAAAAAGAAUUCUUUUUAUUGAGCGGAUGUGGAGUGCGUGCUAAUUACACACGGGUGUAAUUUGUUGAUUAGUUGGUAAGGAGACGGUGUGUGAUUUUAACUUUCGACAGAGGGCAAUUUUGGAAAAAAGAGAUCGAUAAAAUGAUGUUAUGGUGAAAACAAAGAGGUGCAAGUGCUGUGAGAUUCAAACUUGCGACCACGAGCGAUAAGGAUUGAAUGGUGAUGAACUUGUUUUGCCGUUUGGAGAUAGAUCUUCAUAUAUCAAUCAAAAGCGUGUUUCGGAUUGGUUUUGAAACGGUUCGAAAAUGAUUCGGCCCAAAUAAACUCAUUUUAAUCCAUUUGCAUGUAAUAUGUAUAUAGUAACUCAUAAGAUAACCAACAUGUCCUCUAUUGCUAAGACAUCUCUUUAUUUAAUCCAAAUCUAAGAAAAUUCAUACCCAAAAUCGAGAUAGGCCGGGUUAUAGGCUGGGUUAUAAACCCAUUUAAUACCUUCUCAUUUAUUAUUUACGUUUACGAUCUAGUUUGACAUGUCUAGAUCUUCAAUAGGGAUAAAAAGACAAAAACACGCCCAGAUCGGAUCUGGACUCAGCCCGUUUUCGCAGCACCGAUUGCAACGAGCAAAUGGCCCCUUUCCUUGCCCGACCCACGAUCCAUCCCCCACGUUUCUCGUCCGUGGCACGUGACUCGCAGGUGCGGAGACAGAGAGAGAUUCGAAAGCAUCCGGUUUCCAUGUGAACCCCCCAUCGAACGCCCAGAUUCGCCAGUUUCAGCGCUUGGAGUUUAAAGGAAAAAAUGACAACGCAGCACACGAAUCGUUCGACCUCGGCAGUUCUUGGCAGAGGAAAACGUCGUUUCGCUCUUCCGUCCCCCGUUUUUUUUUUAACUUUUCAUCUUUUCUUUAUUUCCUUUUUUUUUCCCUUUUUCUCGAAUAUGGUUAAAGGCCAAAUUGAAUAUGUCUAACAAGGCAAAUCCCGAUUUUUCCCCCUCCUCCCAUUUUCCGAGUUUUCAUACAUUCUUUUUUCUCCUCCGCUUGGGACUUUUAUGCAGGAUGAAAUUUCCUUUCCUUUUCUUUUUUUUUUUUUGCUAAUUAAAUGAAAGAGAUCUUGAAAAGGGAAAGUCCGUCAAAUUGAAGCCAUGUAUAUCCGGGUACCCUUCUUUUUUUCAUUUUCAGUUUUUGGCAAUAAAAUAAUUUUUGAAUAGUGGAGAUACCUCAAUUUUUACAAAAAAAAAUGAGAACGAAUAUGAUGGAUUAGAUGUGUUAUAUAAAAAGAACUAAUACAAAUGCUUUGGCCGCUUAUUAGGAUUUUGACUUAUGUUUUAUUCGGUUUACAACUUAGAGGGUUAUUCUUGGGGAUUUUUCUGAAAUUGGAUUAUUGCCAAGAAAGAAGUACGAGUAAAUUAUAAUUUAUAAGACCGGAUCAAUAGAUUUUAUGCAAAGUUUUCUUUUGUUUUUUUUUGGUCAAAAAAUUUAUGCAGAGAUUUUGAUGCUGUAGAGCCUGAAUAUCUGGCGGAGAAUGCUAACUUUGGUAAGCAAUGCAAUAACACAAACCACAAUUAAGGAACCAACAAAAUGCAAAUUCUUCUGAACCCCUUGGCAUCAAAUAUUAAUAAAUCUGGUAAAAAGCCAUUAAAAAGUCAGUCACGUCGCGCAAAGAAACCGUUAAAGAUGACAAAUCAUUCAAAUUUGCCUAGUCAUGUGCACCAACAGUGAAAGCCAUGAAAAGAAGAGGGCAGUGAAAUAACUCUGAGCUUCAUGGCUGAUAAGAUUCAAAGAAAUCAUAUCACACAGUGUCACUCUCCUCCCAUCAGCUGAACCCAACAAAAAAAAAAAAAAAAGACAAAAUAAAAACGGAAGGAGUUGGAGAGAAAGGAGGUGGGACCCGAGAAAAUGAAGGGAAGUGCUUGGAUCAAUGCUUCAUAAGAGAGCCUGGCAACAAGGUAGUAUACAGCAUCUCAUGUUGAAACAAAGCAUAUGUGAAAUUCAAAUCCAAUAUCUAACUGUGACUUUUAGAAAAUACGAUUGCUGAAAUAGCUACGUGUUAGGGAAAAGUCUACGAUACAAAUAAAAACUGCCAAGUUCUGAAGAAAAUUAUGUGACAUGACCAAUGAGGCCUUUCAAUUGUCAAAAACACGUUAAGUUCCAUUUUCUUUAGUGUGGCGCAUGUGUUUGAUUAUAUGGUGGAGUGGGUGGGUGUGCAUUGGGGUUUAGUGGAGGAAACUUGAAGCGAAAAGGUUCAAAACAAUGUGAACCUGAAAAGCCUAGCCCCUCUAACCCAGGGGUAUCAGCAAGAAAAAUUCUACAGCCUUGACCCCCCUUAGCCUAUCCCAAGCAAAGGUGGCAAAAAUGGGUCAAAGACUAACUUUUUAACUCACACUUAGUGGAAUCAUUGGAUUUGCCCCGGUGGCUAUGUUUCUCACAUGAGAAGGGGGAGGCGGGGAGUUCGAAUCCCCCAUUUUUAAGGAGUCGAAGUAAAAACGAUUUAGUUUUAAAUGUAGGUUUCGAGUUCCACACCUUGCAAUGAGGUAGAGUAAAAGUUUGAAAGUGAGAGUUAGAGUAAUCAACUCUUACUUAGUAGGCUGGGUAUUAUUUGUGCUGGUUUAAAUUUUAAGAGCGUAUUAUUAUGCUUCAGAGUAGCAAAGCCCAACUUUGUCUUGGCCCAGCUAGCUAAUCUUCAAAAGUGUAUCCGCAGCCCACAUCCCUAAAUGGAGUUGGGAACGUGAGGAUGUGAUAAAUAAAUGGACGUCACCGGGGUUGUAUUUAUUCCUCGCUAGUUCCACACGCUAACGAUUUCAUCUAAAUCCAAUAUAUUAUAAAAUGAUACGACAUCACUGGUUUAUUCUCUUGAACCUUUAAAAUUUUAAAUAAUUGAUUGAUAUAUAAAGCUAUAAAUGUUAGAUGACACCAAAGAAGAAGCGGAUGCUCCCUCGAUGCUCCCUUCUAUGGCGCUCUUGGUUUUUCGUCUUGAGAUGAUUGAAUACAAGGAUAGAAAGAAGAACUAGUGUAGUGAGCACACACAAAGGAAUGAUGUGUUGUGAAAUGAAAUAAUGUCUCUUUCUUGUUUCCCUUGCUCUGGCUUUGCCCUUUUCUCCAUGGAAGUGGUGGAAAAGUAUUAGACAAUAUAAAAAAUAAGAAUUAGUGGAAAUUUAUUGAAAAAGAUAUUAAAAAAAAAAAAAGAUCGAUUGUUUGAGACAUGCGAGUACUAUUCUUGAGGAUAAUUCCACCUCUCGAAGUAUGAAAUUCAGUACAAUAGGCUCUAGAGGUUAUCCUCACAAGAUAUAACUCUAGACAGAAUAAUAAAUGAAAUGGGAACAUAUUAUGUGUAUAGCAUAGCCAAAAAAAGGGAAAUAUAUUUGAAUUAUGCGAAUUCAAUGUAUCUCAUAUGAUUUUGGUUUAUAGUUUAAUCUUGUAUUCGAAUGAAAGAGAGAGCUAUUAAUAAAUGAUUAUAAAUUAAUUGAUAUUAAUAAAACGAUGACCGUUAUAAAUUAUAAUUUGAUCACGUCAUAAACGAAAGAGAGAACCCAUAAUUCUCCUUUGCACUUGGUAAAGUCUUGUGAUCUUUGUCUUGGUAAAUUUCCUUACUCAUCGCAACUUUUCUUAAUCAAAUGAUAAUUUGAUUACGUCCAUAACUUUCCUUUCAUGUAUUGAAGUGAUGACUGAAAAUCGAUUUUGCAAAAUAGACUUGGCAGAUCAUGUUUUAACCCUUUCUAUCCAACGGUCUGUGUUGAAUGUAGGACUAAUCCCAUAAAAGAGAGUUUUGACUUGUGAAAUUCCCGUCCCCAUCGGGAGGUUUUGCCCAUAAUAAAGUAGCUUUUUAUUAUUAUUUUUGCCAAACAGUCAAGUAGUGUUUGGAAAUGCUAUUUUUCUUAAAGUUUUGAAAAUCAUUCCACUGUAAUAUUUAUAUUUAUAUGUAAAUUAAGGAAUAGUGUUACUUUGUCAAUGUUGUCUUUCACUGACGCACAGCAACAGACAAGUCUGUAACUCUAGUUUGAUAUGCAAGUCUUCCGUUUCCAGAAUAACCUUCACACAUAAUCCUAUCUCCCGAGGUUAACGAUGAUUUAACCCCAAGCGUGUCAAAUGAAGCCCGGGGUGCAAAAUAGAGCUUAGACAAACUUCAGGGGCGAAAGAGGAAAUUUCGAAAAAAAAAAUUGAAAAAAUAAGGCUCAAUCUCUCCCAUUCUCCGGCGUAUAUAUAAAAAUAGGUAGCGGAAAACAUCACCAUUCCCGCCAUCGCUGGGAACGUCUUUUGAAAAGAGCACUUCGAAGCACGCGGUCUCUAGAGAGAUUAGCGAUCGUCUCGAUUCAACUGCGGCUCGUGCAUCAUCGAUCGAUCGAUCGAAUUGUUCGAACAAGUUGAGACUCCAUGGAGGAUCGGGGCUUGGAAGAGGUAGAGAAAGCUCAGGGCUGCUGAGCUUGACUCUCGAGUUCGGCUUCGGCGAGCAGUCCGCCAGCAAGUGCUUGGGACCGUCUCGUUUCCCUCUACGGUAACUCGAAUCGUUAUUUCAUCGCCCAUUUUUUAUGCCGAUUAGCGUUGCGGAGGUUGUGUAGGUAUUUUGGCGAUUGAUUGUGUUGCGUGGAUGAUUCGUGAAUCGAUUGAUUGUGCAGUCCUGAAUACGAAGAUUUAUUGGGGAUAGUUGUCAUUCUGAUGAUGGCUGUGGAAUGGUCUGCCUGUUGGAUGUGAAUGCACCAGAGCUAGUUAAAUGUAGUUCAUUGAUCUCGUCCCUAUUUCUCAGUGGUUUUUGCGGAGCAGUCUUAUUGACUUGCGAAAUGUCUCACUUAUUUCUAAACUGACUGCAAAUUUACACAUGGUGUCUUGCCUACAUAUAAAUAUGGUGUCUCACUGAACUAAGUGCAAAUAACAUAUCGUAGAUUGUGUUUAUUUGAUCUCUUGUUUUCCAUGGAACUUGCAAAAUCAUCUCUUUCUUCUUUUGGUUUUCUUAACAUGAGAAGGUCGAGAGUUUAUCAAGUGGAGCACUGUGGCGAUGGCUUCCUAGCAAACUUGCUGAAAUGAUGCAAGAUUCUGAGGAUUGGGAUGAUUUACAAGCUGCGAAAAAUCAAAAGCUUAUGGAGGUUUGAUUGUAUGUUUGGCCAAGACAUUCGUAAUGGCAGUGAAUGCAACGUUUCGCACUAUGUCGAUAUUUUAGAAGAUUCUCCACAACCUGAGGAAAACCAAACUUUUCUUGAGGUGGAUUCCUCUACCAAUAGUGAAGACGAGGACAACAUAUUUGGCGGCAAAAUGGGUAGGAAAUCCACAUGCUAUAUUCCUGACCAAAGUAGUACUUCAGGCGAUUCUUCCACUCAACUUCUGGCGAGACAAUCUCUAGAAUCCAUGUUAUGCUUCUCCCAUUGACAUAGACAACACACGCCAAACCACUUAAAUCACUUUAUCACUAUUCUUUUCUCAUAUAAGAUGUUCUCUCCUCGAUCUUGCUUGUGAUUCCGCACACAGCAAAGGACCUACACUAUGUACAUGUACAAAAGCAUUAAUUACUCAUGGGCCCUCUCAUACAAUCAAAUGUCGAAUAGACACCCCUAGCGUUUGCCAAUUACUUCCACAAUCUUCAAGAUCCAAAAUGACAUAUUGGAACUCCUUGGUCAAUAAAGAAGUUGAUUUUAGUUUUGGAUGAUGUACGAAUGCCUAUAUUUCGCAAAUGCUUUGAGAGUAUAGCAAAUCAUUAAAGUCUGGACUUUAGCAAUCCACCAUUAUCGGUAGGAAUAUUUUGUGUAAAUGAAGGCUUGUGAUUUCUUUGUGUACAUUCACCACAAACAUAUAGGACAAGUUGUGUUGACACCUAAAUUUUGACGGCCCAUUUAUUUAUUUAGUGCAUAGAAAAUUAAAGGUUAAGUUUAUCCCUAAAAAAAAAAAUCAAUUGCAUAACAUAUAGUUUAGAAGCAUUUUACAUUAUUCUUUUAUCACUUUUGCAUUUGAUCAGCGGCGGAUGAGCUUCACCUUUACGAGUUGACAUAAAGGAUUCAUAUUAUUCUUCCAAUAUUCGGUAAUUAUUUCAUAUAUUCAUAUUAGGCGAUAUAUUACAAAAGAUUGGAAGUUUAAGCAUGAAAUAUCAAGAAGAAUAUCACACAUGGGGAUAUUUUGAGCGAUAUAUUCUAUGUCUCAAGACAAGAAAUAUUUCCUAAUCAAAGGAGAUUUCGUGCGUGAGCUGAGAAAGGAAGUGAAAUAAUCCACGAAAAUCAAAGUUAUUCACCUAUAUAAGAGCCGCGUACGGAGAAAAAGAAAAGGAGGCCACACACUUCGAAUAUACGGCCGCACAAGGGGUUUUCUCUCGAGUAGGAAGUUAGGAAAUUCAAGAAAAGAAAAGUCAAAAAGACUUCUUCGCUUUUGCUGAAAGGACGACAGAGAGAACUGCCGAGAGAAGAGAGGGGGAAACGUGGGAUGUGACGUACAGCAGGAUGUGAGGGCUUCAUUCAGCAAAAAAAAGAAUAAUAAAAAAGGAGAAAAGAGCCCCUGUUCAUCUUCAUCCGCGAAGCCGCACACUGCCGGCCUCCCCGGUAGCGCCUCCACCCGCGACGCCUCUGCUCCGACGCCACGCCCACACCACGACGACGCGGUCGCAACCACCAACCACAGCACCCGCACCGCCGUCACGCCCGCCUUGCCUGCAAUCCACUCCGUCUGCUGCGACCCGAGCGCCGACACCGGAGCCGCUCCUGCCCUGCUCCGCCACUCGUCCGCGAUCGCCCAGCGCAGAUCUAUGUUCGCCGAGCCCUUCGCUGUGCCACUGAGACUCCGGUAGCCUGUAGCCCCGCGAAGCCGAAGCCCACUGCGAUUUCGCCCUGCUGCUUCGCCGUUCCGCCCCACGCCGUAGCGACGCCAGCAGCUGCCGUCGCCUGUCCGCCUAGCUCCGUCUCUGCUCCAACCAGCGACCGACGCUGCUCCUGCCCGGGUGCCGUCCCUGUCGGACCCCCCUCACCGGACCGACGGCCGGCUUCCCCUUGGAGACCUACGAGCAAGCCGUGCUCGAGAAGGCAUAAGAAAGAGAAAAAACAAACAAAAGAAAAAAAGAAUUUUUUUAGGUAGUUCUUUAUCCUUUUUUUUUACUUAUUUGCCUUAUUUUGUUAUUUUUGUUAUUUUAUUGCUUUAUUUUAUUUGUUCUCUUGUAGUUUAAUUAUCCUUUAAUGUGAAAUUGAAAUUCCAUGAUAUGAAAUUGCCUUGAAAUUAGUGAUUGUCAGUUCGAUUUUCGAGCUCGAAGUCCGACUCGCAAUUACUUAAAAAAAUUGCAAAUCCGAUCUCCCGCUCGAGAUCCGAUUCGUGAUUUAUGUGAAAUUGGCCAACCCGAUCUCAUGCUCGAGAUAUGGUUCGUCGAUUUGGAUAUCAAUAUGGCUUGAUUUGCUGUGGUGUUACUUAAAUUAGUUUUCUUUAAAAAAAAAUCAAAAAAUGUAGUUUUAGGGUUUGCAUGUUCAUAAUAGGUAUUUUAUUUCGAUUUUUCAAAAAAAAAAUUAAAUCAAUUAAUUUAGGUUGCUAGUUUGUUUAAAACUUGGAUUGCAUGUUUAAUUAUUUGGCAAUUAUUAAUUUCGAAAUUUAAAAAAAGGGAAAAAAGGAAAAACACAAAAAAAGUCAUCAUGCAUUUGUCAUGUAAAAUUAAUGCAUCUUUUGCACUGUCAUUGCAUAUUAGAAUAAAUUGCAUGCUUAUUUAGAAUAAAAACCAUGUGCACGUCAUAUAGAAUUAUGUUCACACAAUGCACGUCAUUUAGUGAUUUUUGUUAGGUCAAUUUAAUUAGAAAUUGUCAGUCAUUAGAUUAAUUUAGAUUGCAUAUUUAAAUGUUGCAUUUCUUUAAUUUUGAAUCUCAUAGAAAAUACAAAAAAAUUAUUUAGAAUAAAUCAUCUCAUGCUUAUGAUAGACUACAUGCUUAGUUAUGUCAUAUUGCUUAGGUCAUAUAGUUAAGUCAUGUGCCAUGUCAUAUCAUUUCAUGUUAAAUUAGUGGCAUGCAUCGCAUAUUGCAUGAUUUUCAUUAAUUAAGUGAAAACAAAAUAAAAAUUGCAUGUUAAUUAGAAAUCAUAUUUAUGAUUGCUGAUGUGAAUUUUAAACUAACAACGCAGAUGCUUUCGUUGCUAUGAGGUAAGUCCUGCAAUUUAUUCAUUUGCUUUCUUGAAUGUUAAAUUGGUGGUUUGCGUACUUGCAUGGUCACCUCACAUGUUAAGGAAUUAAAAUUAAUUCAAGUUUGCUUGCCAAACAAUUUUUUCGAAAUUAAAAGAAUGGUACCGAAAGGGCGUUAGAGAAAUCUAGCGUAACCAAGUCCCUGUACCCAAAUCUCUGGUUCGUAGGGGUAAAGUAAAUCUCCCAUUACUUUACUUGGGUUUCUAAUCGACCCACCAAAAAUAGAUUAGUGGCGACUUCUAAUUAAAAAUCAAUUGCAUGUUAAGAAUUUGAACCUAAGUCGCGAAUUGGUAUGGGCUUGGGAGAGCCCAAGUUAAGUCUAGGCUUAACAAUCCAUUAGUCAAACCCUAGGUGGUUCACACCCGAAAAAAAUUGGUCGCGACAAGUUGCAACAUUGUUUUCAUAAAUUAAUGAUUUUUGUCCAAUGUUACACUUAAAUAGAUUUUGGGUAUCAAUUUAAAGGGAGGUUUUCACCUAAUAAUUUUGUUGGAUAAAUUGGAGUCUCGUAUGGUUUUUACUCUCAAAGUUAGUUUUUCCUAUAUAUGCACAAACUUUUUAGAGUUUGAAAUCAGGUUUUGAUUCAAUGUUAACAUCUCAAUUUUUUAAAACUCGAAGACAAAUUUUCAAAGCUGGCGUUUUAAGUUGGUUCGUAGCAAGAAAAAUUUCUUGUUAAAUAUUUAUGGGUUGUUGAAGGCGUGAAAAUGAGAAAACAUGGUAUUCGUCUUCUGCAGUAUUGCUUGGUAACUGGAAUUAGUUGUUGAAUAUGGAAAAAAAAGAAAUAAUAUUCAUCGUCAGUCGCAAAAAAAACAAUAAAAGAAGAAGAAGAAGAUUUUGAAUAGAAGGCGCAGUUUAAGAAAUUGUUCAAGAAAUUAUGGUCUAUUAUUAAAAGAUAUGCCAAAAAAAAAGGAACAUUAUUACUGUCCAUUAUUAAAAGAUUUGCAUCUUGGAUAAUGUUCCAUUGGUCCAUGAUCAAUGAUUUUUCAAAAAUAGUCACGGGAUUGUUCCGUCUAAGAACCAUAUAUGGGGAUUAUUUUAUUGAUGGCCAAACUUUCGUUUUAUAUUGAUCUAGUCCGAGGAGCACUAAUAAGUCCAAUUUGGCUGAAAAAAGAAAAAUUAAUAAGUUUACCUUACUAGUCACUGAUUAUUUGUCUUGGUACUUUAUAAUGGUUUGAGUGUUGGUCUUUGUUUUUUAUUUUUUCCUCUAGAAAGACCCUUGGUCGUCAUUACAUCUUCUAGUUGGCUAACAUGGAUGUGAGCUUAGAUUGUGACAUUCUUCCCAAGAUUAAGAAUUAAUAAUUGCCUUUUAAAAGUUGGUCGCAACGGAACAAUAAAAAGAACAAAGAAGAUUUCUAAAAGAAGGUAGGCGGUUUAAGAAAUUGUUCAAGAAAUUAUGGUCUAUUAUUAGAAUAUAUGCCCAAAAAUGGAACCCUAUCCACUACCCAUUAUAAAAAGAUCUGCAUCUUGAAUAAUAUUUUAUUAGUCCACAACCUUUGACUUAUCAAAAAUAGUCACAAGACAAGUUAUUGAAGCCAACUAGAUUAUUAUGUGGAAGGGGAUUAUUUUUUUAUAGCCGAUCAUGAUCAAACUUUGUCAUUAUUAUCGGGGCAUGCCUGAGCAGGCACGGCUUGGGCAUGGCUCGCAUGGGCCUAGAUAUUUUAAAAAAUUAAUUUAAGAGAAAUUAAAUUAAAAAAAUUGCAAUACUUUUUUUCAAAUUAUGUAAUAUAAUGAGAAAUUAUUUGAGGGAAAUUAAUAAGGAAAAACACUCGAUUCUUUUAAACCAAAUUGAAACCCAAGUACAUCUUCAUAUAAUUUGAGAAAAAAAUUACACUUAGUGGAGCUCUACUAAUGAUUUCACUCCAGCAAUCGUGUUCUUAGGCACUGUUAGUCGGAAAUCAAUAAUUGUCUAUUGUCCAUACGCCUUGCACAUGCCUCAAAACUGACUUGAUGAUUCUUAUGUACCAUUGGGUCAAGAGUGUUUUACCUGAUUCUUUUUGUGUUUGUGUUUGUGUUUUGCAUCUACGAAUUCCCUUACGUAGAUAGCCAAUAAUUGUAUCAUAAUGAUGCUCAUACUUUAGUCUUUAUCUUAACAUUAUCUCCUCAGCAAAAUGGAUUCUGCUCGAGAACGGCACUCUAAAGAUCAAUGUGGAUGGCUCGUAUGUGAAGGGAGAGAGAAGAGGAAGCAUCGCCGGUGUUUGUAGGGACGAGUCUGGAACACCGUCGCUGGAUUUACCAAGAAAGUGCGGGUUAACUCGAUGGAGCAAGUGGACGCUCUAGCGUGCACACAAGCCCUACGCUUCUCCUCUGCUUAUGAACCCAAGUAUUCUCUAGAGUCAAAUAAUUGGUCAAUGAAAUAUGCAUUUUCAAAUCAAGAAGAGCCGACGUGGAGUAUCCAGCCUCUUAUCUCUAAAGGCAAAUGCCUGCUGGCCCAAUACGAAAGCACCCGUUAGCCCACUGCAGGAGAGAAGCGGACCAGGUAGCUGAUUGUAUCUCUAGGGCCCAUCGGCAAAAAUCCCUUCCCACCAAUUGGGUUUCUUAUCCCUAAAAAAUAUUAUGCGAUCUAAUUUAUUCAGAGGCCCAUUUAGUUUGUAAUCGCAGAGCUACUUAAAGUAUGAAAGAAGUUUAUUUCGAUGAAAAGAAGAUGAACAUUUAGAUUUCUCCACCAUCUCCGAAAUGUCAAAGAACUUACAAAAAUUUUGUAGAAAAACUUAAGUGCAGAAGUUUUCAGUGAUUGGGGCUCUUCUUGAAAUUCUAAUAACUUUAAGAUAACCUGAGUAGAGCUUAAACUUGCACAUCAUCAAGGAACUCAUUGAAUUAGUUAAUUUCAUCCUCUCCAAACACUAUUUUAUGAAUAUGCGGAUUCACGAAAAGACAAGAUUGGCCUAAAUGACGAGAAUACAUCAAUUUGUGCUUCUGCUCUUUGAUUUGAUGGUCUUGUUUGAGAAUCUAGUUAUCUCAUUGAACCUCUCACUUAUCUCCCCCUCAGUGUCUUUACAUCAAACCAUUUUUUUUUUCGCGUGGCUCUCACACUUGCCCAUCCACCACUGCGAGCGAUUGAUUCCAUGAAUCGCUCCGAGUCUUUGCCUUUUUGUGAUAAACAAAUGCAGAAAUGGGGGAUUGCUAUAAGGGCGACGGUGCUUUAUUCUGCUUGAAGUGGAUGAUUAGGAUAAGCCCUUUGCCUUCACCUGCCUAUUUCACGCAACUCCUGGAGGGAUCGUGGAGAAGAUGAAGAAGCAUUGCGCCCCUGCAACUGGCACGACCCGGUCGGAUAAAUUUGAAGGGAAUGACCCCCAACGAUUUUAGCCUUUGCAUUCUGGUGAAUUGCCUCUACCAAUUGAAAAGGUCCAAUCUUGGACUCGAAUGCACAACCAGGAGCUUUAAUCCUUGACAGAUGGCUUAUCUUGCAUCGGCAAAUGGAAAAUAAAGCAAUGAUUUUGUUGAUGAAUACAGCACGAUUUAGUAUCCAUUAUUAAAAGAUUUGCAUCUUGGAAAUGUUUUAUUGGUUGACAGUCAUUGACUUUUCAACUCUAGUCACAAGAAGAGUUAUUGAUGGAAUCGAAAAGACUCAAUGGAGUUUACUUUUUUUUUUGUUAAUCGCUCAUAAUGAAAUUUUGUCUCACUUUCAUUUUAUAUUGAUCUAGGCCAAGGACAACUAAUAGAUUUUAUUUGGCUGAAGCAUCUUCCAGCUAGGUAACACGGAUGGAACCUUGGGCUCCAUAUGUUUCCGGAAAACAUUAGACCAUGUGAUUGCAUCAAGGAGCCAUGAAUUAAACCCUUCGCCAAUAGGGAGGCUGUUAUCAUUCGUGAAUGCAAAUAUUGGUACAAUUCCUUCAUUUAUGAGAUUGGCGUAGUCUCAAAAUCUCAGGAAUACAUCAUAGGGAUCACUUCCCCCCUCCUGUUGGUGUUGGAGAGACGAAUGUAGAUAUAGAUGCUCUGGUAGUGCUCUUAUUUUCGGCAUGCAGUAUUGCUUCUGCUGUUUUUUCUUGUCUUGAGAAGAUUAUAAGCGCACGGCGAAAGAAGAAUUGGCGCGACAAGCACCGCUAAAGGGGCACCCCCAAAACCGAACUGUUGGCACUUCGUUAUUUUCGUUAUCCGGCUCUUCCCUUCAAAAGAAAGGCCCUUCCUGUAGUGCAAAAGGGAUAGAUUAACAUAUGAACUAGACUUAUGCAUCAACUUGAAACGACUGCCACCACACGCUCAACAGUAAAGUGCACAACUUCUUUUACCCAAAGAAAAAAAAAAUUACAGACCCAAGGGUGUCAAAUGAAACCAAGAAAAACUUACAGGGGGCAAAAAGAGAGCUUAAACAAACUUCAGAUGCGAAAACGGAAUAUUCAAAAAUAGAAAGGGAAAACAUCAAUCCCGCCAUCGCUGGCGAGGUUUUUUGAACAGAGCACUUCGAGCGUACGCUCUCCAGAGAGAAGCUAGCGAUCGAUUCGAUUCCGGCUCGUGUAUCGUCGAUCGAUCGAAUCGCUCGAACAAGUUGGAAUUCCAUGGGGGAUUGGGGCUUGGAGGAGGUAGAGAAAGCUCGGGUUGCUGAGCUUGGCUCUCAAGUUCAGCUUCGACGAGCAGUCUGCCGGCAAGUGCUUGGACCGUCUCGUUUCGCUCUACGGUAAAUCGAAUCAUUACUUCGAGUUAUGGAGCCCAUCUUUGAUGCUGAUUGGCGUGCCAAAGCUUCUGUAGGUAUUCAUCGUCCACCACGGUGAUGAUGGCCGUGGAAUAGUCUGCUCUAGUUUUGAAUAGAUCGGAGCUGGUUCAGCGAAGUGGUCUUGCUGACGAGCGAAAUGUCCGGCACGGUUCUAGUUUGAUGUUUUAAGGUUGCUUCGGAUGGUGGUUCUUGGUGAUUAGGGAAUGAUGUAAUUGCUUGUGUUGUGUGGAUAAUUCGUGAAUCGAUUGAUUGUACAUUCCUGAAUGAGGAGAUUUAUUGCAGUUAGUUGUCAUUCUGACGAUGGCUGUGGAAUGGUCUACCUUUUGGAUUUGGAUGGACUGGAGCUGGUUAAAUCUAGUUCAUUGAGCGUUAAUCCUGUCCCUACUUCUCUGUGAAAUGGUCUACCUUUUGGAUUUGAAUGGACCGGACUAGCAAAAUGUCUGACUUCUUUUCUGAACUAACUACGAAAUUACAUAUGGUGUCUCACCUUCAUGUAAAUAGGGUGUCUCACUGAACUAAGUGCAAAUUCGCAUAUUGUAGAUUGUGUUUAUUUGAUCUCUUAUUUGCCACGGAACUUACAAAAUCAUUUCUUUCUUCUUUUGGUUUUCUUAAGGUGACGAAGGUCGAGAGUUUAUCACUGUGGAGCACUGUGGUGAUGACUUCCUAGUAGAACUUGCUAAAACCAUGCGAGAUUCUAAGGAUUGGGAUGAUUUGCAAGCUACAGAAAUCAAAAACUUGUGGAGUUUUGACUGAUAUGUUUGGCCAAGAUAUCAGUAGUGACGGUGAAUGCAAUGGUAUACAAAAUGUCGAUGUUGUAGAAGAUUCCCCACAACCUAAGAAAAACCAAACUUUUCUUGAGGUGAAGAUUCCUCUACUGAUAGUGACGAUGAAGACAAUAUAUUUUCAGUAAAAUGGGCUGGAAAUCUACAUGCUAUGUUCGUAACUAAAGCGGUACUCCAAGCGAUUCUUUCAUUCAACUUCUGGCUAGAUGAUCUUUAGAAUCCAUGGUAUGCUUCAACCAUGGACAUAGCCAAUACAUGCCAAAUCACUUAAAUCACUGAGCCACUAUUAUGUUCUCAUAUAAUUUAUUCUCUGCUUGAUCAUUUGCAAUUUGCUUGCAAUUUUGCACACAGCAAAGGACCUACAUGAUGUACAUGUACAAAAGCAUUUAGUAAAUUGCUUAUGGGGCCUCUCAUCCAAUGAAAUGUCCAAUAGACAGUCAUAACUUUUGCCAAUUACUUCCACAAUCUUCAAGGUCCAAAAUGACAUAUUAGAACUCUUUGGUCAAUAGAGAAGUUGACUUUCGUUUUGGAUGAUGUACAAUUACCUACUUUCUCAAAAUACUUUGAGAGUAUAAUAGAUCAUCAAAGUGUGGAACUUAGCGAUCUGGCGUCUUUGAUAGGAAUGUUUUGCAUAAAUGAAGGCUUGUAAUUUAUUUGUGCACAUUUUUUCAUUUUCCAUGACAAUCCAUGUCAGAAACUAUUACGGUGCUGAAGAGGUUUAUUCCUGUUGAAGGACUGUAAGAGCACUAUCACUCAAGGUUCAAUAUCAGUUUCAAAUGAAAAUGGCCAAUGUUGUCAUAUUCGAAAAUAGGGCAUUUUGACCAAUGUGGGCAUCAGGCAUGUAAAGCUUAUGUAGCCAAGCAAUUGCUUCAUUCUCAUGCCCACUAGAGGUGGUAAAAGCUUAUGUUACUAGGUUAGUGAAUGUUAACAUCAUUUCAUUUGUAUAAUGAUCGAAUGUAGACGUAAGAGCACUGUCACUCAAGGUUCAAUAUCAGUUUCAAAUGAAAAUGGCAAAUGUUGUCAUAUUUGAAAAUAGGGCAUUUUGACCAAUGCGGGCAUCAGGCAUGUAAAGCUUCUGUAGCCAAGCAAUUGCUUCAUUCUCAUGCCCACUGGAGGUGGUAAAAGCUUAUGUUACUAGGUUAGUGAAUGUUAACAUUAUUUCAUUUGUAUAAUGAUCGAAUGUAGAUGUAUGUGUGGAGACAAUGUUUGGAGCACAAGCCCUGUGCACUUUGCUCAAUGGUUCCACUGAUUAAAUACUAGACGGAUAGACUUGUACAUUGAAAUUUAAGAUUUAAAAUGAUCUUGUAAUCUGCUUUGUUAGCACUGUUGCGAAGUUUGUGCUUAAACUUAAGUUUGAAAAUGUUUUCCAAAUGCAAAUUAAGCUAAAGGAAGUGAUUCAGGUAUAGAACCAUGGGUCCAAUGUACAAGAUCUGACUAGGUUGGAAAAGAAUAUUAUAUUGGACAUUCUUGUUCUACCUUCGCACAUUUCUAUCUAUUCUGUGAUUUCUAGAAUUUGAGGUUUGUGCUAUGCUUCUAGGACCUUCUAAUUACUUACUGAAAAAUUUAUCUUGUUUUGCAUGUAAGUGUUGUUGUCAGUCAUAGUUAAGGUCCAAGUCAAAAGGGUUAUUAAGUCAAAGAGGAAUAAGUUUUUAAAUUACUUGCACCAAAUACGGAUUUAGAUCUCUAUAUUUCCUGCAGGUAAGUGCUAUGUUAUCAUCUCAACUGGGGUGAUCAUGUAAGAUGGAUCUUGGUAGCAUGCAACAUAUCUGAUCUACUGAAUCAUGAAAGAAGAUAUUAAUAUGAAUUUAUUAGUUUGAGUUAUCCUGAAGUACUUUCUGUUGAGUCUUGAAGUAGAUGAUAUGUGUUUCUAGUUGAAGUAAAUAAAAGACAGAUAGUGACAGCUAGUGCUUUCUGAUCAGCCGAAGGUGAAUGAAAGGAUAAUUCCUUCAUCCCAUCCUCUCUUCAUGUGCUCUUUUGAUGUUUUUAUCCUUCAUUUCAGCUGCCAACUACUCUUAAACCAAGUGUCACAUUCAUUAUAUGUCCCAUGGUAUCUAUCAACCAGGAUAAAAUAAUUACCCUAACCCUCCAUAUGUUGCAAUGGAUGCACAUUUUUUUAUGUAUUUAAUGAAAAGAUUCAUGCCUAAGAUGUUUGCCUCAAAUAAAUUUUACGAUCUCAGUGUUCCUAGAGAAGUACAUCAUACCAUACAAUUAUCAUUUUGCCAUAAAAUGUUGGGCUAUAAUUGUUGCUGUGAGGUUUCUAUUGGACUUUUAAAACUUUUUUUUGCUGACUGUUGUGAUUAUCAAGUCAUUAAUACAUAAAAAAGGUGCCUUUUCAGGAAAGUUAAUCCAUCGUGCAAGCUAUUGUAUGUAACCCUUGAAAGGAUUGUAGGAAACCCAUCAUUUCUUUUUCACUUUUUGAUGCUCGGCUGCCGUGCAUUGCAGGCACAACUAGCUGGUUUUGUUGUUGAUAAGACACAUUAAGUGAGGUAUGUUCUUUGGCAUCCUUGCAUCUGAAGCAAAGUUAAUGCUAAAGUUACUUCAAAAGGAAUAUGUAUUUAUGAUGUUGCCACUGCAAAACUACUGUCCUUGUCCCAGAUAAAGAAGUUAACUUUUAUAUACGCUCACUCAAACUCUCUUUUUUGAACAUUUUUGCAUAUUAUGUAUUUCUAGCCUAAGUACAUUGUUGGUGUUACACUGAACCUUCUGAAACCCAGACCUUCUUUGACGAUCUAGUAUAACAGAUGCAAUGUUGAAAUAAGUAAUUUUGGAAAUGAUCUAGUUCCUUCUUGUGGGAAAAGUCAGUAGCACAUUGUUAAUCAAAUAAAGCAAAAUGCACACAACUAAAAUGAGCUCCAAUGGAUAUUACUUUCGGAAGUAAUUGGAAGUGUCCAUGUUUGGCUUGGUAGUCAGGUCUCUUAAGGUGGUUCUUGUGUCCCUAUUUAUUCUUUUAACCUUUUUGCUAUAUAAUAACAACGUGGUAUAUAAGGCAAAAGUUCGCCCAUUGGAUCAUUGGUUGUGUUUCUUAUGAGGUCUUUACUGGAUUUGUGCUGCCAGUGCCAUCUCAUGAAAGAAACAUAUUGCCGGUUUGAGCUUUUCUCGUAUAUUUGAAUGAUUGUAAAUGAGGAAUGCUUAUUCAUCAUUACUUUCUUUGUUGUCAUUAUUGCAGUCCAUGGGGACGUGAAUUUUGUCCAAAUUAUAGAGGACUGGAAUGUCUCAAGCAAAACUUUCCAUAUGUCCCAGCGAUGGCCUUAACUGCCAUUGCCACCUGUUCGUGAGGUAUGAAUUGCACAUUAACCUCGAAAUUUUGCUGAAAUAAUCAUUUGGGACUGAUUGAAAUCCUGAAAGCUCUCAGGAUCCCCCAUGCUCUUGUUCUUGAGACAGAUUUGACAGACCAAAUCUAAUGUCUGAGGUCACAGCUAAGACCAAAGAACCAAUGAAGCAGCUUGAAGAGCUGUUAAAGAAUCAUUUUGCUAAUUUUUGUGGCAUAGUAUUUUGCCUCUCAGAGAGUAAAUGUGUUGAUGUUACAAAAUUCUUGAAUGAUACGUGUGGUAUAAAGACGGUGUACUAUCAUGCUGGAUUACCAGCCCAUCAAAGAGUAGCUGUUCAAACGAAAUAACAUGCUGGAGAGGUCCAGGUUGUGUGUGCUACCGUUGUUUUUGGCAUGGAAUAGACAAACCUGAUGUUGUAGGUUGAAAUGGACUUUGUGCCUUUGUCUAUUUUUAGUUUUAGAAUCAAACUGACACGUUGGCAAAAUACUCAAUUGAUCCACUUUUCUUCAAAUGUUUAAGUAUCGCUAAUUGGUUUCUUAGUGUGCUUUGAAGUAAACUUUGCUAGUUGCAUGGUUCAGUGGCCUGCUAAAUUAUCAUUCUUGGCUAUUUUUCAAGCCAAAUUCUUUCUUCCAUGCAUGGAACUUUGGUGUGCUGAAAUUAAGUUAAACUAGGAUAAAGUUCUUUUCUUUACUGUAAAAGUGGCAAAUGACUCUGAUCUAACUUGACCUUCAGUUAUAAUGUUUUUGUCAUAUUUUAACUUUUUUUUUAAUUGGUUCGGUAAUUAUAUUUUAUGGCAUGUGGUCAGCAUUUUGUCAUCCACAACACAAUGUUGAAGUCAAUCGAAAGCUAUUACCAAGAAUCAGGGAUGCAGGAAGAGAUCUACCAGCAAUUUUUCCACUUAAUUUCUGGCCAAACGAUCUUUAGAAUCCAUGGUAUGCUUUAACCAUGGACAUAGUCAAUAUAUGCCAAACCACUUAAAUCGUUGUCACUGUUCUGUUCUCAUAUAAUUUAUUCUCUGCUUGAUCAUUUCCAAUUUGCUUGUGAUUUUGCACACAGCAAAGGACCUACACAAUGUACAUGUCCAAAAGCAUUUAGUAAAUUGCUUAUGGGGCUUCUCAUCCAAUCAAAUGUCCAAUAGACAGUCUUAACUUUUGCCAAUUUCUUCCACGCUCUUCAAGAUCCAAAAUGACAUACUAGAACUCCUUGGUCAAUAAAGCAGUUGACUUAAGCUUUGGAUGAUGUGCAAAUACCUAUAUUUCUCAAAUACUUUGAGAGUAUAGCAGAUCAUCAAAGUGUGGAUUAGCAAUCCAGCAUCUUUGAUAAGAAUGUUUUGCAUAAACGAAGGCUGGUGAUUUAUGUUGAGUGUUGUGACUGUCAAAUUAUUAAUCUCCACUUUUGCUUGGCCUGCCUUUUCAGAAAAGAUAAACCAUCGUGCAAGCUACUGUAUGUAACUGCUGAAAGGAUUGUGGGAAACCCAUCAUUUCUUGAGAUAUUGUAACGCUUGCUUAGAAAGGGAUUGUUUCUGAUGCACCAUAACUUUUUCUGAUAGGUUCUUUGUAAAUUUAUUAUAUUCGACCAUCAUGCAUUGCAGGCACAACUAGCUGGUUUUGUUAUUGAUGAGUUACAUUACGUGAGGUAUGUGUAAUAUUUGGCAUGCCUUGUACAUGAAGAAAGAUCAUGCUAGAGUUACUUCAAAAGGAAUAAUUAUUUGUGAUGUUGCCACUGGAAAACUAUUGUCCUUGUUCCUGAUAAACAUAAGCAAGUUAACUUUUAUAGAUGCUAACUUAAAACUCUUUUUCCAAACUUUUCUGCAUUUUCUGGGUUUCUAGCCUAAUUAAAUUGAUAAUGUUAAACUAGACCUUCCGAAGCCCAGAACCCUAUAAAGUUCUAAUAUAACCGAAUGCAGUGUUCCUUGUUUGAUGAAAAGAUUUAGGUUCCAUUAUUUGGGAACACUUAGUGGCACAUCGUAUAUUAUAUUGAGUAAAGAGGACACAACUUAAUAAAACUGCAAUGGAAAGUACUUCCUAGAGUAAUUGGAUCCAGCAUAAGCUUGGAUAAAGAUCCAAUCUCCUCUUUAUGUUUGGCAGGACACUCAAUCUCUUGAGUUGGUUCUUGUAUCCCUAUUUAUUCCAUUAACGCUUAUAGUUUAUGUUAACAACUUGAGAAAGGUAAAGGUUCAACCAUGUGAUCAUUGAUUGUGCUUCUUAAAAUGUCUUAACUGGAUUUGCUCUGCUAGUUUGAUCUAAUGAAAGGAACGUACUGCUGAUUUGAGCUUUUCUUGAGCAUUUGACUGAUUAACAUUGAAAGCUCAUAAUUGUCACUUUUGUGGUUGUCAUUAAUGUAGUCUAUGGGUACAGGAUUUUCAUCCAGAUUACGGACUGGCAUGUCUCAAGCCUAACUUUGCAUAUGACCCAGUGCUGGCCUUAGCUGAAACUACCACUCACUCAGUUCGUGAGGUACUAAACUUAUAUAUUAACUUCCUCAUCAUUAUGUUGAAAUAAUUUGUUCAUUCUGAUUGAAUUAUUCAUCCAUUGCAGGAUAUCCUAAAAUCUCUUGGGAUUCCCCAUGCUCUUGUUCUUGAGACAAGCUUUGACAGACUAAAUCUAAAAUAUGAGGUCAUAGCCAAGACCAAGGAACCACUGAAGCAGCUCGGAUAGCUGCUAAAGAAUUGUUUUGCUAAUUUGUGUGGCAUAGUAUAUUGCCUUUCAAAGAGUGAAUGCGUUGAUGUCGCAAAAUACUUGAAUAAGAAGUGAUGUAUAAAGACAGUGUACUAUCAUGUUAGAUUACUAGCCCGCUAAAGGGUAGCUGUUCAAAAGAAAUGGCAAACUGAAGAGGUCCAAAUUGUAUGUUAUAAAAAGAAAUGGCAUACUAUCAUUCUCGUGUUAUUGACUAGCUAUAUUAUAAAUUAUAUAAUCAAUACAUUGACUUUACUAGCAACUUUUCUCAUGUUAUAUAUAAUCAGUAGGCUCAAAAUUAGAUUAUUUCGUGUUUGAUAUAUUUAACUAAUGUUUUGACUUGUUAGUGCGGCCCGCAUUACGUAUGAUUUAGUGCUUGAAUAUGCAAACUUGGCUUAACAAGUUAGUUAAAGUUUUGGUAAACAACGACUAAAUUUGAAUAUAUGAUUAUCUUGUGAGUAGCUUUUAACUACUAAAGUUCCACUGUUGUAAUGUAGUAUGAUGAAGAGGAACAUUUGACAGUACUGGCCCCAAAGACAAUGGUUCAAUUGAAAGUUGAAUGCAUGACCAAUGACUAUAAUUUGGUGUAGUAGAGUCCAAGUACUAACCAAGUAGACGACCGGCUUGGUCCAAACCAAAUGGAUAUAAAUUUCGGGAAGAUUUAACAUUUUCUUUAUCAGUCAACUAUAGCCAACACCAAAGAAAAUUUGGUUUCAAGUAUGAUAAUGUAUGGCUGUGUCUACACUGCUUUAUAGGCUCAUGCUUAAAGGAAUCAAGUUUGAGAUUAUACUAUCAAAGUGAUUGCAAAAUGCCAAUACAUGAACUUCCUAAAAUCCAAGAGCUGAAUGUACACUAACGAACACUUUUAUUUUGCGCUCAAAAUUCUUUCCAGUGAGAAACUAUUGUCUUUGUGGAACUUUUUACUGAAAAUCUUGCCUGNNNNNNNNNNNNNNNNNNNNNNNNNNNNNNNNNNNNNNNNNNNNNNNNNNNNNNNNNNNNNNNNNNNNNNNNNNNNNNNNNNNNNNNNNNNNNNNNNNNNGAUUGCAGCUUGAUCUACGCGAGAAGGAUAGGAUUUACUAAUUAUCAAUAAAUGGUGAUAUUUGAGAUCGGAGCAUCACAAUUUACAUCAUGAAAGAUAAGGUACAAAUGCACAAACAUCAUUUGCACCAAUUGCAGUUGGACCGUAAUGAACAGAGACUUCAUGAGCUGGCCGAUGAAAACGUAAACAACAGGCUUGGAAGAAGUAACAAUUAGCAACACUUUCCUUGUUUGUGUUUAGGAACAUAAUUGAUAUCAAUAAAAAUAUGUUGAAAGGUGAAAUGCUUAAACUACAUAAUAGAAAGAUAAAUUUAUUAUUUGGUUAUUUUGCAAUAUCAUAUUAGCAAAAUUAGCAAAACAGGAUAGUUUGCUAGGAGGUGAAUUUUAACUUUACAAAGUCAACGUCGCAUGAGAACUGACCUUAUCAAAUUAAAAAAUUCAGAAACCUAUAUGACAACAUUCAAAGGAUAGUAUCACAUUGAUGAACUGAUAGAAAUGAAGGAGAUUGUCCUCAUGCAUACUUGCAUACUUUUUCAGGUGCAAUUCCAUAGCUCAUAUAGUAUGAGCAAACAAGUUAUUUUUCCAUUGUUAUGGUACGACUAGUAGUGCAUACCUCCCUCUGCAGAGCCCUAUCAAGUUCCGGAAUGAUAACAUUAGAAUGCAACAGCAUUAAACAAACAUUUCUGCAUCAGGGUGACAUACAAAAAAAUCAGCAGCUACGUAUUGGAUUAACAGAGAGGUCGAACAUCAUGAACAUACAAAAAAAGACUCAACUCAAAAUACAACAUCAAAAUCAUUCGAGUAUGUGCUGUCGAGACCAGAUAAAGUGUACUAGAUCCUCACAAGCAUAAAAAAUUCCCCAAGUAACAUAGAGAAUCUCAAGUGAAGACAAGUCACCGAUUUCACCUGGAAUUGCUCUUUCAGAUAACAGCAUGAUGGGAAGCUUAUAGUGCACCAAUUUUUCAACCUUCCUAUAGCACUAGGAAGCUUUUCAAUACCAAAACCACUAAUGUCUAGAUGUUGCAAAUUCUGUAAAUCUCAAGUUGAGCAAGUGAUAUCUGUGAGCGACUCUCAACAGCUGGCACUCAGUUUCUCCAGCUUCCUCAGAGAACCGAUAGACAUAGGAAUCUCAGUAAUAUCAGCAAAAUCUAAUAUAAGUUCUAAUUUGAUAGAUUCACCUCCUUUCAGUUCUAACUCACGUACCCAUCCGCUCUUGGUCCAGUCCGUUGCCACAUUCUUCUUCCAUGAUCCUAAAUCUCCUGUGAAUCCUAAGAUCACCACACUCUCCCCAAUUUCAACUUGGCGAUCCAGCCGAACGCUAAGAUGCACCUUCUCCCAUCCCAGCUAUGAUAUGAUCUUCUUUGCUUUCUUCUCCUCUUCUCUGCAAUGAACACAUUAUUUCAUAGCUUCUACCAAUAGCCUCCUUCUUUGUCUAAACAACUUAAACAACAAUUUUCACUUGAACCACCGAUUCAUUGUUUGUCAUUUAACUCCACAUUCAAAGAGAAACCUCAAAUCAAGACGGUGUCAAAUAAUCCGUGCUGCUAGCUUUUAUUGCAAGAAGAACUCGAAAGAAAAACAAAAUAACUCUUUUUUCCUCACCGAUUCUUGUUCAAGUAAUAAACCCCACAUAAACUCCAUCCAUACUAGAGACUCAGACAAACCUUUGAUCGAGAAUUCCAUAAAACAACUCAAUACUUCACUCCAAACCCCAGUGCUUGAUCAGACUGACAUAAGUGCGCUAGAACAAAUCCAGAGAGAGAGAGAGAGAGACCUGGUUGUAGUGGUGAAAACACCACGAACAACCAUGAAGGAGCGACUCUGAGCUGCAUGUGUCACGCCCCGAUCCUCGGGAUCGCAUCCAUCCCUCUACUUGGUCGAUUUAUUAAUGCGAUACCCCAGGACUAUGUAUCGCCGACCCUUUUAUUUUUAUUUGCACAUGCGGAAGCAGUUAUAAAUCCCCAGACAAUAGAACAAUGGGAUAGAAAAGCAGGCCAUAUUUUUCAUAUUGAAAUUCACAACCACACUUUUAUACACACGCACCUCAUAGUAUCUUACAAUACUAUUAACAUAGGUCUAAUCUAACACCUAUCCACAAGUACACAAGGUUCACAUAACGGGAUGGGAUCUCAGUCCUCAUCUGGGUCAUACUCGGGAUCAUCAUCCCGAUCCUCUUGAGACUCUUCUUCACUAAGUUCGUUUUCUUCAAGCUCUUCAUCCUCUGCUGGCUCGUCAUCAGGGUCAUCCAAUAGAUAAUCCUCCUCCGGUCCCUCUACGGACCUGAAAUGGUUAUUCAAUAACCAAUGAGAUCACGUCUCAGCGAGUUGUACCCCCUAAGACCCGAUUAGUAAACCAAUACGCCAUAUGGUUGCCUAAGCACAACACAAGUCAGAUGACUUACCUUGGCCUCAUUUCCAACCUACAAUUCAAGGUUAAACACAGAUGCUUCAUAUAUCACAUCAAACAUUCAAUCAAUUCACGACAACAGAUCAAAUCACAUAUCAAUCGACUUGGUCGAUUACAUGUCAUUCGAACCACCUCUAGGUCAUUCCCACUCAUACCAUAAUUUCCCAAUGGUGUAUUCAUUCACCAAAUCACAUAUGUUUCUCGGGCGUCGUUUUCGCCAAUGACAUACCGAUCACCGAUACCGUGCGUUCUUUAAGGCGCCGUUUUCACUAGUGAUAUCCUCGAUCACCGAACCACGUGUCCUUUCUAGGGCGCCGUUUUCGCCAAUGUGACAUCGGCUAUCGACAACAUCGUGAGUUUUUUAAGACGUCGUUUUCACCAGUGAUAUUUCCUUAAUCAACGUGUGUCUAUAAGUCAUUUACGUGCGUUUUUUAAGGCGUCGUUUUCGCUAGUGAUACUUCUAAUCACCGAACCACGUAUGUCCAAUAACAUCGUACCUGAUUGGUCUCAGCCAAUAAUGUUCUCAGUUAGCUCUCACCAUUCUCCCUACUAUAUAGCCCAUCAACGUACUGGCGCUAUAUACCCAUGCUCGGCCAUUACCAAUCAAAUAUUCAAUAACAAACAAUUUAGGACAAUUCCUCAAAUUUCACAAUUUAAAUCAAUUCCAUAAAAAUUGAAGCUCAAUUAAAUAAACGGACUGCACCACGACAAUCGACACGAAAUUCCGGUCAACGGCCAUCCCGGUUGAAUUUCCGGAAAAAUAAUUAAUUAAAUAAUUAAUUUCGAAAAUUAAAUAAAUUAAAUAUUAAAAAUCCAAUUUAGGCCCGUAUUGCCUGAUUGGAGCCCGAAACGGGUCGGGAAAAAUCCCGAGAUGCAUUCAAUAAAUACUAGAGCAUUUCUACUCCCUAAUGGCUAUAGCUAACCACCUAACAUGCAUCCUUAAGUCACUAAUUUAAUUGUUCUAACCUAAUCUAACCACAUAAUUGCACUUAAUUAAAUUUAACCAACCCUAAGCAUAAUUAGCAAACUAAGAAAGUAUUAGUGAGUAAAACUCACUUGGCAAAAGCGGAGACCGAAUCACCGCGACGGCGACGCGACGGUGGCCGAAAUCGGGCUUUCAACAACAUCGGCAGGCUUGGACCGGGCCUUGACCUUGGCCAAACAAAUCUCAGCCCAACUGAGAUUUGUUCUUGCUUUUGGGCUGGACCCAAGUUGGGUUGGGCCUGCUGAAAUUCUAGGCUGAUUUCACUUGAGCUUCAAAUUUGUGGGCUGGACUUCAAUUGAUUGCUGGAAACUGGGCCUCAAAAAGACUGGGCUGAGUUAUUAGAUCUCUGGGCCGAAUUUGGACUGAAAUGGGCUGCUGGACCAACAAAUUUCGCUGGGCUUGAAAUUCAAUGGGUUGAAGACACUUGCUGGACUUGAAGACUUCAACUGGGCUGUUGCAAAUUAUUGGGCUGAGCUGCUGCAAAGAAGAUGGGCCGAAGACACUGGAAUCUGCUGGCUUUGCUGGGCCCGAAGACUGAAUUCUGUUGGGCCAAGGAAAUGCGUGAACUGCAGGUGACGAUGGUGAGCUGGCGGAGAAGAAGUCGUGGACUGCUGCUUCGUUCGAUGUUGCCCGCGUGAGGAGGAAGCGCGGGUCAACAGAGGCGUUCGGCUGGUUCGCUUGUUGACCAAGAGGCGGUAGGCCGUGGACAUGUGGCACUGCAACAGGGGAAUUGGUGGCGUCGGUGGCGUUGAAGAUGCUGAAGACGCGCGGCCAAGAAGAGAAACGUGGACUUCGCUGGGGUCUUCAAGUCGCUGAAGUCCACGGACGUGCGGCUUCUUCAGUGGAAGGAGAUGUUGACCGAGAUGUGGGCGUGCUGGCGUGGAGCUGAGGAAUCGCACGAAGAAGUUGCUGGAAUUUACUCGAUGAAAGACUCAAGCUGGGACUGACCGAACAAGAUGAAGACUUCACUGGGUUCGGUCAAUCGGCUUUGCGAUUGACUGACGAAGACGUGUGGAGAAGCUGGCGGAGAAGGACGUGUGGCGUGCGGACGUGAGGAGCUACAACAACUGGUGAGGCUUCGCUCGGUGGUCAACAAAUUGGAAGAAAACCUGCUGCUGUUGACUGAAGCAGCCCAUGUAGUCGGCAGGUGGCAGCUCGGUAGAUCUCACGGCUUCACGGCAAGCUGUUUCGAUGGAAAGAGAUGCGGCGUGCGUUCGUGGAUGACCGAGAAGAGGCAGAUGGAUUCGAGGCAGCUGGAGUUGAAUGGCGUGUUGGCAGCGUGAGAGAAGGCAUGGCAGCAGCUUGCAGGGAACUUGGUGGCCGACCAAAGAUGGUGCAAGCGAUAUUGCUUUCUUCGGCUGGGUCUUCGAACGUGCGGCAGGGGAGAGAGAUUGGAUGGGGGCUGUUUCGUGUGAAAGAAAAAUGAAAGCAGAGGCAGGAACAACGAGCGGAUGGGGGAGAAGGCGUGCGUGAGAAGCCGGCUGUGGGGCACAAAGUCAAUUAAAAUAUCUAUCCUCUUCAAUGCUUUGUCCCCCCUUAAGCUUUCAUGUUUAUCCCUUAUGUCCCCUAAUUCUUUCUUACUUAGAUAAUGCCACAAUUUAUAUCACCAAUUAAUCCAAAUUGAUGCCAAAUUUCCAGCCCUUUGCCAAGCUCCUAUUUUCUCAAAUUAAACUUCAAUUUCCUCACCGAACCUCCAAAUCAGUCUAAUUUCAAUGAAGAUAAAUCCCAUAAAAUUUUAUGUGGGUCCCCGACACCCAAAUGCUUGGCUUGACAAUCCAAACUCACUUCAAUUCUGUCCACACUAAUUUCUGUUAAUUUUCCGCGACGUCUGAACUAUUUUCCGUAAAAAUUUCGGAAUCUCCGAAAAAUCUUUUGAGACUGACUCGACGUUCCUAGAAUUUAUUGUGAAAUGACAUAAUUUUCAAUUUCUGAAAUCGGACUCGAAUUGGCGGUUAAUUUCCAUUCGACGCGUGUUUAGCGUAACCUAGGUUACCGGGUAACUUUCAGAAAUUUUUAAGUGUAAAUGACUCGUGGUCGAUUUUCUUCGAGCCACUAUGAACCCACUCGACUCAUUAGCGACUCUCGAUUGUCGUGAAAAUCUCGAGGAUUCAAAUACGAACACAAAGUCCCAAAACAAUAGGAAAAUCAGUCUAGUGCCGGUCGACGGGAAUUUUCCAAUUUAGUGGUGUCACCCACGAUUAGCCACACAUCUUAGUCGAACCAGCCUAUCUCUGAUUUCGAAUCGAUUUUAUAUUGUGCCGUAUUGACCUCUAAAGAUGAACACGGUCGAAAAGCCGAUUCCUGAUCGAAUUCUCAAGUCUAUUUACCUUAAGAUCCUUAAUGGCUUCCUCAAGUAGUCUAGUUAUCUCAAGAGUGAUCAGCUUUGAGAACAGCCCUAUAAGCGCGUCAAUGAAAUGCCCGAUUUAUUCAAUAGAAAACAUGGUUGAAAAUCUGGAAUGUCACAGCAUGAGCUCCAUGCAUCCACAUAAGAGAAUCUCGAAGGAGAGAAGUAAUGCUGCUCUUCAAGAAAAAAACCGGUCUCUUUACUUGGUUUUAGGUAUGAAAAUGCACAUGGCUGUGUCUCUUCUGCUUUUAUAUUCAUGCUUAAAUAAAUCAAGUUUGAGGUUAUAUGACCAAAAUGAUUGGAAGAUGCCUACAUAUGAAUUUUCGAUGUAACCAGACCAAACUGAUGAUUUUAUAAUGCCAAUAUUUUGGGUUCAAAAUUCUUCCAAAUGAGAAACUACCGUCUUCUUGGAAACAUUUUCAUUGAAACUUUUGGCUGCAGUUGACAGAUUAUUUUUUGAUUCCACGGCAUUUGCUUUUUCCACAAAAAAAGUCUCUCCCGGUCAUAAAACUGUAGCUUGAAGUGGACACCUAAAUGGUAAUCUUGUUAACAAAUCUCAUUUUAUGCUUGACUUCACAUAUAAAACCACCUGCACAUGCAGUCUUCCUCCAAGCAAUUUGUGAUGCAGCCUUUGCUAAAGAAUAGCACGAUUUCAACCUUGUAAAGGACUAAUACACCACAUGAGAAGAGGUUGCCUUAUAUCAAGAACCUUUGAAGAGUAUUAACAACAUGGAGCAAAUGACAAACGCCAAUGGCGAAGAACUUCAAAAUGCCUUUCUAUAAUGACAUAGUUCAUUCUUGCCCUUAUCUAAACCCCGUGGUGUUUGGGGACUUCCUCCGAAUUUCAUCAAAUGCAGCUUUAAUCUGCACAAGGAAGAUAGCACCAAGUAAUUAUCAAUAAAUGAAGAUGUCCAAGAUCGUAGCAUAAUAAAUUACCUCAUGAGAGAUUAAGGUACAAAUGCAUAAACAUCGACAUCAAUCAGAGUUGGACCACAAUGAAAGGAGACUUCAUUAGUUGGCCGAUGAAAACGAAACACACAGGCUUAAAAGAAGUAAGCAAUUAGCAACACUUUCUCUGUUUGUGUUUAGGAACAGAAUUGAAAUUAAUAAAAUUAUGCUGAAAAGGUGAAGUGCCUAAAUUACAGAACAGAAAGAUGCAUUUCCUACUUGGUUAUUUUGCAAGAUCCAAUUAGCAAAAUUAGCAAUACUAGAUCGUUUGCAAAGAGGUCAAUUUCAACUUUACAAAUCCAAUGCCACAUACAUGAGAACUGAGCUUGUCAAACCUAUAUAAUAACAUUAAGAGGAUAUCAUCACACAAAUAAACUGAUAGAAAUGGAGGAGCCUAGCAAUGCAUACCUCCCUCUGCAUAGCAUCAUCAAUUCCAUAGUGAUAUCAUUAGACUGCAACUGCAUCGAACAACUCUGCAUCAGGGUAACAUACAAAAAAUCAUCAACUUAGUUUUUGAUUAAAGGAGAGCUAGAACCUAAUGAGCAUACAUAAAGCAUAUUUAAUUGAAAAAAAAAUACAUUUACAAUCAUUUAGGGAUGUGACAUUGAGAUCAGAUCAAGUGUUUUGGAUCUUCACGAGUAUCAAAACUUCCUUAGGACACUCCAGUCAGCCCCAAAGCCUCUUCAAGUUUGGCACGCAAGAUGAUCCUUAGCAGUUGCUGAUGCUUCCUCUGCAAAACCCCUUUUGUUUAUUUUGAUCAGUCUCAAGUAUGGAAUUUGAAGUUCCUCAGCCAAGUGAGCCACGCCCAAAUCAGUCAUGUAAUAAAGCAAUUCCAUGGCAACAAUAGGAUCAAACGGUAUGCAAACUAAUUAGCAAAUUCUUGAGCCUUGAGCUCCUCAUCCUAGCUUGUUUCAUGACGGGCAAAACAUUGUUCAUUAAUGCAAAAGUCAUCAAUACAAUUAAUCGAACUGAACUCCCAAAGUAAGCCUUGAUCAUUACACAGACCAACCAAACUUGUCAUGGAAGCAGCACCAAUUUACCUUGCUUGAUAAUAUUCAAAACAAUAGUUUGACUACUAGUAAUGUUAAGGUGGUGUACAUUGAUAUAUGACAGACUAGCCAGAACUACUUUAACAUUUUUUUUUUUAAUCACAAACCAAAAACACUUGAUAUGUUUUAUUUUAGCUCACUUCAUCAUACUUAAUGGGAAUUGAUGCUAUUCUUAGAAGGUUCAAGAGGGACAUCAAGGGAACAAUAAGAAAUUUGACAGGGUUUCUGUUCAUCGUGGAAAACCAAUAUGUUUGUCUCAAACAAGACAUCUGCCAUUAGUCAAAUUUCACACAAAAGAACUCACAAAGUAACUCAAAAUGGCCAAGGAUCUUUUCAAGAAAUAUUAAUUCUGGACAGGGAAAUUCUGGGUGUAGUUUAUAAUAUUGAGUAGCAGAAGUUCAUCAGCCUCGAUUUGAAAAUUUCAAAUCCUAGGUUUACUUAUGGAAGAACUGUUAAAUCACUGGGGAAUUCUUGUUUACCUUUGCUUGAUAUUUUCAUCCUUGCCUNNNNNNNNNNNNNNNNNNNNNNNNNNNNNNNNNNNNNNNNNNNNNNNNNNNNNNNNNNNNNNNNNNNNNNNNNNNNNNNNNNNNNNNNNNNNNNNNNNNNNNNNNNNNNNNNNNNNNNNNNNNNNNNNNNNNNNNNNNNNNNNNNNNNNNNNNNNNNNNNNNNNNNNNNNNNNNNNNNNNNNNNNNNNNNNNNNNNNNNNNNNNNNNNNNNNNNNNNNNNNNNNNNNNNCUUACUAUGCCUUCUAUUGACAUUUGGGUCUAUAUUUUGAUCUUGGCUUAAGCAUCAUGUAUGACCAACUCCCCCAUUCCUUCAAUUAUGACAGAAUCUUGUCAUGGAAAACCUUCUUGUCAAAAGAAGAUGGGGAUGAAAAGUAGGUCAUGAAUCUCAGAAGAAAAAUGAUUGUUAACUGCUUAUUUACCUCUAUUGGGGAAACAUCACUCCAAAAGUCAAAAGACAGCUCUCGCUCAUAAUUUCUAAAGACGCGCGUUUCGGUAUUGCUUCCAAUGAGUCACAACCAGAAAUAUCCAAAUCAAUUAAAUCCAACUUUUCAAGUCCCCAAAGCUGAGGAGGUUUCUUGCUGUCUCAAACUCUUAGAGAUCCUAACUUCUCACAUCCUAUCAAAUCUAGAAAGUCUCUAUUGAUUUGCAUCCUGUAAAAUCCAAGUCUUCUAAGAACUUCGCACCAUCAAGACCUUGAAUUUCGACUAUAUUGUCGCACCCAACAGCCACUAAUUUCUUCAGACACCGUGAUUCUGGAUAGAGAAGCCUUUUAAUGGAAUUGCAAUCAUAUAUAAUUAUGACCUCCAAGAAUGCCAAAUUAUCAUGCCCUGAAUUUCAACUAGGCUAUCGCAAUGCUCAGCGUGCAAUCAUUUCAGAUGAAUCAAUCGUGAAAGGUUCAAUCUUUCAAUGGAACUACACUUUUCUAUGGAAAAUCUCGACAGAAGGCAAGUCACCAAUUUCACUUUUCAGACAACAACACGACGAGAUAUGUAGAGUCUGCAGAUUUUUCAGCCUUCCAAUCGCAUUGGGAAGCUUUUCAAUCGCAGAAAAACUCAAAUGAAGAUGUUGCAAAUUUUGUAAAUCCCCAAUUGAGCUAGGGAUUUCUCUCAGAGACUCACAACCAUAAGCGCUCGAUUUCUUCAACUUCCUCAGAGAACCAAUAGACGUGUUCAUGGUCAUCAAGUGAGAAAAAAAAAUCCUUCCCAUCCGAGAAAGGGGAGAGGCCGAGAUAGAGAGAGAUUGAGGACACGGAUGGACACGUGGUCGCCGAGCAACCGAUCCCAUGGAGUUGGCCAGAGUCUAGAGAUCAUGACGAUUCAAACUCUUAACCAAAACCAGAUGUACGUAGCCAAAUCCCGGCCUCGCAUGCUCGAACACACUUCACCCCCGCACAGACUAGACAACGCGAAGGAGUUGGCGAUAAAAGCAUCGUGGUGGAAUGAUCCGGAGAAGAAGAGGAAGAGGAGGGUGGCCAGAUACAAGCUUUAUUCGGUCGAGGGCAAGUUCAAGGCUUCUUUCAAACAAGGGUUCCGAUGGUUGAAGCGCAAAUGCUCGACCUUCGCACGUCGAUUCUAAUUAGCAGAAAUUACGGAAUACCGUGUCAUCGUCAUCAAGAGAGAAAAACGGUGAGAAAGAGGAAACAGAGAGAUUUGCUGUGCUCUUUGGGUGUUCAUCUUUAUAUGUAUCUAAUGGUGAUCAAAUAUUCAGAAGGGUGCUGCUAAUGUUCAAUCUUUCAGAUAUAAUGUUCAUCUGACUCAUUGUUUCAUUCAUUGCUCUCCAGCAUUCAAAACAUAGGCAAAUGAGACGACUCGGACGUGAUAGUAAUAUAUAUUUGUAUUUGCCGAUUUUUCUUGUUCUUUUUUGAAUUUUCUUACCUUCUAAUACAUUUGUAACAGGAUUCUGCAUCCAUGCCCAUGCAAAGUAGAAUUGUCUGAUUUGUUCAAUUCUCUUAUUUUCUGUAAGCUCUUUUCCUAAUAAAUGUGAUGCUGAUUGCAAAUGAGAUGACUCGUACAUGUAGGAUUGACAUUACCAUCUAUUUUGUGGUCGAUUUUGUUGGGUACAAUUUUGUUUUGGCCAAAUGUUGUUUACGCCUUGUUUCUGGGGUUCUUUAACCCCCUAAUUUCCUCUAUUUGUCUAGUUUGAUUCCUCUUUGUUGUACGAUUCAUCAUAUGGCAACAUAUAUUGCUGAAGUAGAUAUUCUAAAAUGACAUGCGCCGGUGCUAAACAAAACAAAAGGCUUUCGAUGGUUCCAUUUUGAUUUGAGGAUAAUUUUCAUAUUUCGAAUGCCAUCCUAUUGAGACCAGAGUUACGAAAAUGUGGAAAAUUGAAAAGCCCAAAGGGAACCUUCUUUAAUUCUAUCAAAACUUGCGUAGUUAUUGUUGAAAUGGUCGUAAUUUCAAGGAUCUUGAUGUAUAAUGUGAUAGAACUUUCAAAAAAAUGGUCAAAGCAAAUCUCUUGCAUGAAAUCGAAGGAGGAGAAGAUGAAAACCCAUAGCAGAACCGAACUGGUUCACCAGGUUUAACACCUUCAUCCAGUUAUCCAGUCGAUUCACAGUUUUCAAAUUUUAAAUCAAUUCAGCCGAUAUGGUUGUGACUAAAAUUCUAAAAGUAGUCAAAACACGUAGCCAUUGCCCUUUGGAAUAAUGGCUUAGACACUGGUUAAGCAAUUUAGUAAAUAAACUGUAGACUCAAUACAUCGACUUUACUUGUGAUUUUUCUUGUGAAAUGUUCAAUCAGUAUUCCGAAAAUUUAAUUAUUUCACAUUAAGUAUGUUUAACAAGUAUUUCAACACGCCCCACACUAUAUUUGUGUUAGUAAUUAUAGAUUUGAACUUGGCUUAAAAAGCUACUUGGCCUUACAAGCUACUUGGCCUUGUAUUGAGCUCUGGAAAAAUUGAGUAUAAGUUCAAGUAGACAAGCAGGGAAUCAGACAGAGUACCUUGCCAGUAGCUUUCAGCCUUUCAAUUACUAAAAUUCCACCAUUGUCAUCUAGUACACGGGUUCAGGAAUAUCAAAGAGUGACCUCAAAGAAAUUGCUUCGAUUGAGGCUUCAAUGCGUGACUGGUUAACACAAUUUGGUGUAGUAGAGUCUGAUUAUUAACCAAUAAGAUGACCCUUUUAAAGUUUUUUGUUCAAACCAAAUGAGUAAAUUUUGGGAAUGGCCCUUUUCACCUUUCCAAAAAUUUCCCACAUUUUUCGAUAGUCUUCAAUCGUAGCCUACGCCAGAGAAAAAUAGGUUUCAGAUAUGAAAAUGUACAUGGAUGCGGCUCUUCUGCUUUUAGAUUUUUUUUUUUUGGUAAGUUCUUCUGCUUCUAGAUUCAUGCUUAAAUAAAUCAAGUUUGAGAUUAUACUAUCAAAACGAUUGCAAAAUGCCUACAUAUGAUUUUUCAAUGUAACCAGACUAGGAAGAUGAUUUUACAUUGACGAGCGCUUUAUUUCAUGUUCAAAAUUCUUUCAAAUGAGAAAACUAUUGUCUUCUAGGAAACAUUAUCAUUGAAACUCUUGCCUGCAAUUGACAAAUUAUUUGCUAAUUCCAUGGCAUUUGCUUUUUCCACGACAAGAAUCUCUCCGCCACAAAAUUAUAGCUUGAAGUGGACAUCUAACUGGUAAUCUUGUUAGCAAAUCUCACUUUAUGCUUAACCUGCAAAUGCAUUCUUCCAGCAAGCAAUUUGUGAUUCGGCCUUUGCUAAAGAAUAUCACGAUGUCAAAGCUCCCCAAGGCCUAAUGCACCAUAUGAGAAGAGGUCGCCUCACAUCCAGAAUCCUUUGAAGAGUACUAACAACACAAACGCCAAAAGGAAAGAACUUCGGGAUGACUUUUCAGAAUGACAAAGCUCAUUCCUACUCGCAUCUCCAUCCCAUGGUGUUUGGGGACUUUCUCUGAGUUAAAUGAAUUGCAGCUUGAAUCUACACAAGCCAAAUAGCACUGACUAUAAUCAUUGGUAAUGAAAAAAACCAAGAUACGUAGCAUCACAAUUUACCUCAUCAAAGAUAAGGUACAAAUGCAUAAACAUCAUUUCACCGGUUGGACCACAAUGAACAGACGCUUCAUUAGGUGGCUGAUGAAAUAGAAAAGAACAGACUUGGAGAAGUAAGCAAUUAGCAAUACUUUCCAUGUUUGUGUUUAGGAACAGAAUUGAUGCUAACAGAAUGAUGUUGAAAAGGUGUGAGUGCCUAAACUACAGAACAGAGAGAUGUAUUUGUUACUUUGGUAUUUCACAAUAUCCUAUUAGCAAAAUCAGCAAUAGCGGAUAGUUUGCAAGGAGGUCAAUUUCAACUUUACAAAUCCAAUGCCACAUCCACAUGAGAGGUGAGCCUAUCAAAUCAGAAACCUACAUGAGAAUAUUUACGAGAUAUUAUCACACUAAUAAACUUAUAGAAAUGAAGGAGAUUGUCAUCAUGCAUACUUGCGUACUAAUUUCUGGUGAAAUUACAUAGCUCAUAUAGUCUAAGCACACAAGUAAGUCUUUCAUGGUACAACUAAGUAAGUCUUUCAUGGUACAACUAGCACUGCAUACCUCUCCCUUCAGAGCCUCAGCGAGUUGAGGAGUGAUAUAUUUAGAAUGCAACUUUAUCAAACAACUCUGCGACAUGGUAACAUACAAAAAGUCAGCAGCUACGUGUUUGAUUAACAGAGAGAUAGAACCUAAUAAGCAUACAGAAAGCAUAGUUAAUUGAAAAAAAUACAUUUACAAUCGUUCAGGUACGUACUGUUGAGACAUGAUCAAGUGUUCGAAUAUUCACAAGCAUCAAAACUUCCUCAGGACACUCCAGUUGGCCCCAGAGUGUCUUCAAGGUUGGCACAGAAAAUGGUCCUCAGCUGUUGUUAUGGAAUUUGAAGUUCCUCAGCCAAGUUAGAACUAGUAAUCAUGUUAACAAAUCUCAUUUUAUGCUUCAAUUCACAUAUAGAACCACCAGCACAUGCAGUCUUCCUGAAAGUGAUUUGUCAUUCAGCCUUUGCCAAAGGAGAGGACAAUGCCAAAGGUUGCACAGGACUAAAACACCACAUGAGAAGAGGUUGCUUUAUAUCAAGAAUCCUUUGAAGAGUAUUAACAACACAAAGCACAUGAUAAACGCCAUUAGCAAGGAAUUUCAGGAUGCAUUUCCAUAAUGACAUAGCUCAUUCCUGCAAUGUUUUGGGACUUUCUCCGGGUUUCAUGGAAUGUAGCUUCAAUCUACACAAGGAAGAUAGCACUGACUAAUUAUCAAUAAAUGAAGAUACCCGAGAUCCUAGCAUCACAAUUUACACCAUGAGAGAUAAGGUAUAGUUGCGUAAACAUCAUUGACACCAAUUGCAGUUGGACGACAAUGAACAGAGACUUCAUUAGCUGGCCAAUGAAAAAGAAACCAACAGGCUCAAAAGAAGUAAGCAAUUAGCAAAACUUUCCCUAUUUGUGUUUAGGAACAUAAUUGAAGUUAAUAAAAUUAUGUUGAAAAGGUGAAGUGCCUAAACUAUAGAACAGAAAGAUGUAUUUGCUACUUGGUUAUUUUGCAAGAUCCAAUUAGCAAAAUCAGCAAUACAGGAUAGUUUGUGAGGAGGUCAAUUUCAACUUUACAAAUCCAAUGCCACAUACAUGAGAGCUGAGCCUAUCAAAUCAUAAACCUAUCUGAGAACAUUUAGAGGAUAGUAUCACACUAGUAAACUGACAGGAAUGAGGAAAUUGUCAUCAUGCAUACUUGUGUCCUAAUUUCAAGUGAAAUUCCACAGCUCAUAGAGUAUCAGCACACAAGUUAGUCUUUCAUGGUACUACUAGCAGUGCAUACCUCCCCCUUCAGAGCCUCGUCAAGUUCAGGAGUGAUAUCAUUAGUUAGCGACUGCAUCAAGCAACUCUGCAUCAGGGUAACAUAUAAAAAGUCAGAAGCUAUGUGUUUGAUUAAUGGAGAGGUAGAACCUAAUGAGCAUACAUAAAGCCCAUUUAAUUAAAAUAAGUACAUUUACAAUUGUUCAGCUAUGUGUUGUUGAGACAAGAUCAAAUGUUUGAACAUUCACACAAAUCAAACCUUCCUUUGGACACUCCAGUUGCCCUUAGAACAUCUUCAAGGUUGGCACACAAGAUGAUCCUCAGCUGUUGCUGAUGCUUCCUCCGCAAAAUCCCUUUUCUUCAUUUUGAUUGGUCUCAAGUAUGGAAUUUGAAGUUCCUCAGCCAAGCUAGCCACACCCAAAUCAGAUGAUAAAACAAUUCCACGGCAGCAAUAGGAUCAAAUGCGAUGCAAACCAAUUAGCAAAUUCUUGAGCCCCUCAUCCCAGCUUGUUUCACAAACCGGGCAAAAAUUGUCUAAUUAUGCAAAAGGUCAUCCACAUGGUUGACUGAAUUGAAGUCCCAAAGUAAGUCUUGAUCAUUGCAUAGACCAACCAAACCUGUCAUAGAAGCAGCACAAGUUUACCUUGCUUGAUAAUAUUUCAAAACAAUAGUAUGGCUAUUGGUAAUGUUAAGGGGGUCUACAUUCAUAUAUGACAGACUAGCCAAAACAACUUUCAACAUUUUCUUUGUCACCAAACAGAAACACUUGAACCUUGAAUUUUAUUUUAUCUCAGUUCAUCAUAUUCCAAGAAGCAAUGCUCUUCUUAGAAGGUUAAUGAGGGACAUCAAGAGAACAAUAAGAAACUUGACAGGGGUUUCGUUCAUCAUAGAAAAUCAAAAGGUGUUUGUCCCAAACGGGAUAUCUGCCAUUAGUCAAAUUUGACAUACAAAAGAACUUACAAAGGAACUCAAAAUGGCCAAAGAUUUUUUUCAAAGAAAAUAUGAACAUUGGACAUUGGGAAAUUCUGGGUGUAGUAUACAAUAACGAGUAGUAGAAGUUCAUCAGCCUCUAGAUGAAAAUCUCAAAUCCCAGGUUUUUCGAUAAGGAAAAUGUUAAUUACUUGGUAAUUCCUGUUUAUCUUUGUUGGUAUUUAUAUUCUUGCCUCACAAGCUGCUAUAUGUUUGCAGCCUACAGAAGCUGGCAAUGGAAGAAUAAACAAAAAACAUUGCUAUAACGUAAUCAACAGCAAUUAUAGAGAGGCAAAUCCGGAGUUUCCAAAAUCAAUCAAAUAGAUACCCAUUGUAGAGCGAAUCAUUCUAAAAGUUUCUCUUUUUGCUCAUGCCGGCAUUUCAAGGAUGAAGAAUCUUACUAUGUCUUCUAUUGGGUCUACAUUUUGAUCUUGGCUGAAACAUCACGUCAGCUUCUGGCCAACUCCCCCACUCCUUCAAUAAUGUAAGACUAGCAAUUUAGACCCUGUCAUGGAAAGCCUUCUUGUCAGAAGAAGAUGGAGAUGUAAAGUUGGUCAUGGAUCUCAGAAGAAAAAUGAUUGUUCAUUGUUGAUGUACCUUUGUUGAAGAAACAUUACUCCUCUCACUGUUGUAAUACGGGUGUAAGAUUUAUUACAUCAUUAUCACCACAAGAUAAUGUUUCCAAAGAGAACUAAAACAUAAACCAGGGACCUAGUUCAUAAUUUCUGUUGACGUGCAUUCCAGAUAAGUUAGGUAUUGCUUCUAAUGAGUCACAACCAGAAAUAUCCAAAUAAAUUAAAUUCAACAUUUCAAGUCCCCGAAGCUGAGCAAGUUUCUUGCAGUCUCGAACACUUAGAAAUCGUAAUUUCUCACAUCCCAUCAAAUUUGGCAAAGUCUCCAUUAAUUUGCAUCCUGUAAAAUCCAACACUUCUAAGGACUUCGCACCGUCAAGACCUUGAAUUUCAACUAGAUUGCGACACCUAGAAGCCUUGAAUUUCUUCAAACACUUGCAAAAAUUUAAAAAUAUGACCUCCAAAGACUUCAAAUUAUCACAGCCCUUAAUUUCAACUAGGCUAUCGCAAUGCUCAAUGCGUAAUCGUUUCAGAUGAAUAAAUCUUGAAAGGCCCAAUGUUUUAAUGGAAUUGCACUUUUUUAUUGAAAGCUCUUCCAAGUACGUGAGUCCGCUGAGCAAAAGUGAUGUCAGCUUAUCCCACUCCUUAAAACAGAGUUUCAAUGUUAUUGAGGAAAGCUUGCGGAUGUCUUCAGGUAAAUGGCAUACCUCAAGAUCGAGUCUUUCUAGGUGGAUAAGGCGAAGGAGCUGUGGCAGUCCAGGUCCAAGGCGCUGACAAGUAACCGACAGACAUGUUAAGCCCAAAGGAAUCUUUGGCAGCGAUUGGAGCUUGUAACAGCCCCUUAGGUCAAGGCUUUGGAGAGAAGAAGGAAGCUCUGGCAG